Molecule: long non-coding RNA, 73672 nt
Filed under: Coffea arabica (coffee)
Lineage: Eukaryota; Viridiplantae; Streptophyta; Magnoliopsida; Gentianales; Rubiaceae
Description: long non-coding RNA (CARA_LNC007630)
Source: RNAcentral
UACAAUACAAAAAUCGUCGAAGCUUAACCAAAAAAAAAGGACUAAUAAUAAAAAGUAAUAAAAGAUAACCUCGGGCUCUUUUGCCGAUAUCGGAGUAUAGGCCGGGACCCUUCACCAUUUCCGCCGCUAAAAUUCAACGAAGAGAGCGAGAGAGAGAGAGAGAGAGAGAGAAGGGCUUGGUAAGUGGCGUUGGGUUUUUGGCUGAAAUGCGGUGUUCGACGGGGAAAAUGUGAUGGAGAGAAAAUUACUUGUGUUGGAAAAUGCCACUAAAACUCCUAACCUAAUUUAUUACGCUGAUUUUUCUUGGCCGUUGGAUCUCGCGAGGGGGCUGAUAUAAGAUUGUUAUGAGACGUCGGUUAUUUUGGCAUUUAGAAAUUGAGGGAAACGAAUUAGAGAAGGACUUUCUGGCUUUUGAGGUUGGGCUGUGAGAUUCCUUCGAAAAAUGGUUGGGCUGUGAGAGUGAAAGAGUUGCGAUUGGCACCAGUGGAAAAAAAUUUAAAAAAAACCAUGAAACAAUUGGUGAAAUUACAAUUACCCCUUGAGGUUUGUGAUAAUUACAAGGGCUUGCUAAUUGUCCAAUACUUUUUGUUGUUCAAGUUAAAAGUGUCUUUUUGGGGCUUAUUGUGAAUUGUAUAUUACAAUGGUUUUUGGGGAGGUUGGAUUGGAUAGUAAGACAAGAGAGAUUAUAAAAGGAAGGAAGAAAAAAAUAAUAUAUAUAUAUAUAUAAUGAUUUUACUAAUUUUUAAAACAACAAUUUCCACUUCCGUAUGAGUCACAGAAAGAGGAUAAUUCACAAUUAAUUAUACAUAUACCUCAUUCUACUUUUCUUUAAUUAUGUAGAAAAGAUAUUUAUCAAAGGCCAAGGAGAACAAGAAAAGGCGUCAAAUCUUGUGAAAACAACAAAAUUUUGUGAGAAUUAAAAAGUCCUUGCAAUUAUAACUGCUGUUUUGGCAAUUAAAAAUUCAGCAUCAGGAAAAAAAAAAAGAAGAAGAAGAAAAAGCUGUACUUCAUUGUCAAAUGCUAAUAUGUUGGCAACUAUGAUAAACUUGAAAGGAAUUUGCGUAAUUUAAUGAACCUCAAAAUUUUCUCAGCGGUGCGGUUUAUUUCAUCAAGUAGCUUGCUAGCCACCAAAUGCUGUGCACCUCUGGCUUCAAUGCAGACGUGAAUCAGAACGUCAUAGAAUAUGCUAUACCUGAUUUUGUCAAGCUUUGACAAUAUGCCACUAAUAACCAGCCACAUGCUUCUUUCAAACAGGGAAAAAAAAAUCAGUUUAUACUUUACAGAGAUUUUCUAGUUGGCUAGAUUUUGCAAGAAAAUAAAAGGAAGCUCAACUGAAAAAUAGUAAAGUCUGGACUGUGCACGUAUAAAUCAACAGAAGAAUCCAUCAAAAUGUUGAACAACCAUUCCGGAGUCAUUGGUCUAUAAUUUUAAAUGUCAUCUUUUCAGUCAUAAUCACCUGAAAGACCACCACCUCCAUGGGAUCAAAUACUACUCCCCCCAAAUGUUUUUGAUAAUCAGUUUCCACAUUUGGCAUCAAGGGACCUGAAUGAUCUUGAUCAAUGUUGCUCACUCCAGAGUCUAUGCAUGAUCUUGAUCGUUCUUUAGCUGUGGCCAUCCUAUGCAUUUUAUUUGUCAGCAUGCAAACCAGCAAUCACACAAGAAGUCUGCUGCAAUAUUUACGGCUAAUACUUAAUUUUAAGCGGAUUGAGAGUUCUAUAACAAGUCUUAUACACAUCCUAUAUCACACUUUCGAUCUAUUUAUGUUGCUGCUACUGGCUUCAAGCCUAAGAACGGAAGCUGCUGCGAGCGCAAAGGCAGAAGCCAAGAAGAUACACUGCCUCACAAGACACAAAUCAGAGAUGGUUUAUAAUUCAAGGCAGGAAUGGUGAGGGGCAAAGUCCACAUAAUGCGUGCAUGGCAGGAUAAUGCAUAUUAAGCCUGAUUUGGUUAUGUAAGACUUAAUUAUAUCUGUUUGUGAAGAGCUAAAAUGACAGAUUACAAUUGUACAAUGCAAGGAGGAGAGGCGUUUUGUUAUCAUAUGUCGAAUAUAUAAAAUUAUUAUGCUAAAAGUCCCUUCCUCUUCUUCUUCUUUUCCGGCAUCACCCUGCAAAAACUUAUAAGCUACAAUUCAAGAUGCACGCAUAUCCUACUUGUUUUUCACUUCUACCUUGUAUCUCCCCAGAACAUCAUAAAGGCUCCAAAUUUUCAAUCCAAAUAGAAACUAGACCUCGCUUCCUAGUGGCUGCAUGGUCAGAAGUUGUAAGCAUGGUGAUCCAUGAGUAGCAGCAGCGGUUUCACUUUGGAGGGUUUGACCAACGACCAAUCCAUAGCACCGUGACAGGACAUGCUUAUUAUGUUCUUAGUGCCAUACCAAUACAUUUGAAUCUAUCAUAGAGUGCAAUAAUUUGAAAGCUACUAACAAUUUCAUCAAUUUGUAUGUUUGGAUGGACGCAAUUUAAUUGUUCACUUUUUUUUUUCCAAAUUGAAAUGCCAAUUACCACCAAUCAGAGAGGAACCGAAAUGCCACAGCUGAAGCGGUUUCAGAUUCAAGAGUUCUAAAAUGCAAUUCCUGCAGCAGAGGUUUCAUGUCGCACAUCUGGGUCCGGAAUGGACAACCAAUAUGAAGAAGCUUAGACCAAUUGUCGCCAUCUCAUAUAAAACUUUGCUUGAAAGUUCAAUUCACCAUCACCAAGUCAAAAUAAGUCAUACCAAGCCAGACAGGUUCCGACCAGCCAAACUAUGAAUAGAUCAGAAAACCAAUUCUACCACAUAAAAAGAUUAAUUGGAUUUAGGAAACAAAGUUUCACUAGACUCUUGUUGCCCUAUUUAUUUGCUCUGCCCAUGCAAACAUUGCCGGGGUGCUACCCAAACCAAUGGUAAUCAUUUGCUUCAUGGCUUGAGAGCAACAGCCAACCCAAUCUUUGCACUUUUUUCAAUUGCCCGGGUGUCAACCUCACCUGAUAUGGUUAAGAGAGACUUCGGGCGCCACUCAUGCUGGAUAAGAGCACUUGCCUUGCCGUAGUUGUUCACGCGAGCCUUCACUGUGGUUAAUGGGUCUAAUAAAUGCUGUGUUCCGAGGGUGAGAGAAUUUUCGUUGGUUGAGAAACUGUGACUCAACUCUGCUCCAACUGCUGUAUUAGUCAAUGGGCUAACACUGUGGUAGUAGGAAGCAGUGAGGGUGUCGCCCUUAUCAUUCCUGUUUGUGUUAACAAAGAACUCAUCAACCAAGAAACUUAAAUAAUAAUAAUAAUAAUAAUAAUUAAAAAAAAAACUAUAGCCCAGCAAUCAGAUGAAAAAUUAUGAACACGCACCACCAUCAUCAGGAAGAUCUUAAAAAAACCAGAGUGUAUACAUAAAGCGUGUAAUAACUAAAGUGGUUAUAAGCAACUUAAUACCUAGUUUGGAUGUUUAGGUUAGAAAAGAAAAGAUAGGAAAUGUUAAGUUAUGAAAGAAAAGAAAAGAAUAUAAAGGAAGAGGAGAUUUUAAUGUUUUGUUUGGGAGUUUUAGAAGGAAGUAGAAUGAUUUUGGAUAUAUAUGUCAAUAAAAUUUCAUUCAAUAGUUUUGUGAGGAUAAAAUGGGCAAUUUGAAAAAGUUUUGCUUUCCACUAGCUUUUGGUCAGAAAAAAAAUUGCACUGUAGCAGAACUUGGCAUCCUUCAAAAUCCGUUCAUUUCUUUUCAUUUCUGUCUCACUUGAAAGUCCCAAACGUAGGAAAAUCCACCUCUCUCUUCCUUUCUUUUCGAUUCCGUUGGAAUCUCAACUCCCAAACUAGCUAUAAGUGACACGGCAGGUACUUCAAUUAAAAUCCAGUAAAAAGAAAGGGCACUUACAAGGUCAAUGCAGCAAUUAGGUCAGAAUUGGUAAAACUAAGACCAGCAUUGUACUUAGUGAAGUUCCCUGUGGCAGUGUCAAAAGAGACGUCAGUACCUAGAGCAAGCUUGUCAUUUCCAGCCACACCAGAGAAAUUGACAAUUGGAUUUGCAGUAAGUCCAAUGCUAGAACUAAUUCCAGCAUAUUCGUGCAAGUACUGGAGUUCCACCUGAUAACAGAAUCAGAACAAAUUUGGCAUUUCACCGGUCAGCCCUGAUCAUCAUUUUGCAAGAGAUACGGAAGAAGUACCUGUAAAAUAUAUAGUACCUUGCCAGAUCUUUGGUCUGGGACAACAAAGCUAAAGAUUGUCUUCAGACCGGGUGCAGGUUCAUCAACAGUGAUUGUUGUGAAAACCUACAUAUACAUAAGCAAGCCAAAUAUAUGCAUCACGAUAUUGCAACCACUAUGUAAGACCUCAGACCAUUCCGUAGAUAAAGAGGAAAAGGGUAGAAAAGCCUACAUUAAAUUGAUUUAAGGACAAAUUAAUCAUCACCUAGAUCUCCUUUCUUCUUUUUUGGCCCUCUUACAUGCAAAUCUUUUAACUAAGGCACUCCUUGAUUUACACAAAUAGGCUGCCAUCCUUGGUAAACAUCAAAUUGCAAGCAUCUACUUUGCAUAAUGCAAAUUUUAAUAACAUAAAGCUCUUUCAUGUUCAAACAACAUAAUAAAACCCAGAGAAGAGAUUGAACUAGCAAUAACAUGCCUCAACUGAUAAAUUUUUUGGAAGGAGAAAUAAACCACAAUAAUGGGGGACAAUCCAAACCAUGCUAAGAGCACAGGAUUCAAAAACAGCAAAUAUUAUAGUUACAUCACAACUCGAAUGCCGUAAAACCGAAUCUUGACCUAGACAACAACGACAACAGUAUAUGUUCUUUUGUUUUAGCCAUUACUUGCACAUAGAAUUACAUUUACAUGUACAACUUAAUGGAAACAAGCAUGUCAUAUUAACCCUGCCAGUUUAUGACUAACAAAUGAUAUUAUAAUUCAGAAUUACCAUUAAUUACAGAAGGAAAUCUCCACCUUUAGACGAAAUAACUACAAGCCAAACAACUUCAACAACUUACUUUGGAGUUGGUGUCGACUUUAAAGUCAGUCGUAAUGUUUUUAUUCUUCAACUGCGUGUUGACAUCACCCAGAAACAAUUCACCCUUCUUUAGUCCAGAUGCUGUAAUGGCCUGAAAAAAUAGCAAAUAUAUUUACAUAUUUGCGCUCUAGAAAAGUAAAAAAUGUAUGCAGCUCAAGUAGCAGCACGCAAACAAUAAAUGCUAUUAAAAAGCUCUGACUAAAAGCACCGACUUGCAGAAAAAUUUAAACCCCGUACUAAUGCCCUGGAUAUUGACUCAAUGACAGAUAAUUUAUUAGUCAAUGAAACAACGUAUUAACCUUCAUAGCACAAACUAAAAUAAACUUCCAGGUAUCAACAACUAAUAUAAUGACUGAGAUUGACAGUAUGACAGUGUAUUUUGGACCUUAAAACCUCUCCAUAUGUGAAUAACAAAGAAAUCAAUGUAGAAGUGAUGAUGGAUGUUGCUAUCUUAAACUGCAGCCUAUGUGGUCUUCCAGGAAAAUGGGCAAAGCUUAUUAGACAGUUGGAAAACUUGUUUCGAAAGUUAUAACAAUACCAUAAAACAACUUUUUUUCCUGGAAUAAGAGUAUUCUCAGUUGUUUUAAGCUGCAGAUGUGCAAAUUAGAAAGAGAAGUUCUUCUCUCUCCAAAAAUAUAAUAUUUGUAAAAAAAAUACACAAAAGAACCAAAGCCGGAACAUUUUACACAGUGAUGCUUCUAGAGUACCAGCAUUUUCUAUAAUUCUUUGAUUGACCAAUAGUAUUAACCAAUGGAAAGGCUGCCAUACUCCCCUACAGGAACUCUUUCACAAGAGUACCUAUCAACAGCAGAGCCUAAUAACUGCCUUGACAAUAAAUUGCAAGAAGAACAAUACAUGACCUCAUCAAUCAUGAUUCAUGGAUAAAAGGAUCAUGGAUUAAUAAUAUGAUCAAUCAUGACCUGAUGAUCGUGAUUCGUGGGUCAUAACAAAUACAGGGAGAUAUAAUAAUUUCCCUUGCUUUUCAUCCACACCAGAGAAAUCAGGCAUGAACACUUCCCAAAAGCUCUAUUUUUUUGUUUUUUUUUGGGGGGGGGGGGGGGGGGGGGGGGGGAAGAGGGAGGGGUUGAGUGGGUGGGGGACCAAAUUAAUAAUUUGCAAGUCCAAAUUGUACACAGUUAAGUGACAUUUAAACUUAGCAUUUCAAAGUAAAUAAAGCCAAAAUAACGACAUUCUCCCCAUGUUCUUCUCCUUUGUCAUUAUUGCAACAGUAGCUAAAACGAAAAUAUUUCCUCUUCCAUAAGUAAAUCGAAGAGACUACUUUUUCCAGCUGCAAUAUUUCACGAAACUCCAGCCGAAAAGCACAUCACACUUUCAGAAACAACACUCAUCGGCAAAAUAAGUUCAUACAUACAUGACCCAUUUGAACCCAUACACAGAAACGUAUACAAAAAACACAUAAACCAGUACAGAGAGAGAGAGAGCCCACCACUCCAUUGGGACUAUAAGUGGUAACGCUGAAUUUGUGGUCGCCCUGAUAAUCCUUGUACAAAAGAUCUAACAGACAAAACAUCAAACAUCUUGUGAGUACAGUACGAAAAUCCUCGAAACUUAACAAAACAGGACUACAAUUGAAAGAGGAAAGGAUAGAUAACCUCGGGCUCUUUUGCCAAUAUCGGAGUAGAGGCCGGGACCCUUCACCAUUUUCCGCAGCUAAAUUUCGACUGAGGAGGGAGAAAGAAGGGUUUGGUUGGCGGCGUUGGGUGGUAAGCUGCGACGGGGAGUUUGACGGGGAAAAUAGAGACAGAGAAUAUGAGGCUGGAUGUGUUGGAAAAUGCUUCCAAAACUUUUAACCUAGUUUAUUACGCUGAUUUUUCUUGGCCGUUGUAUUAUUUUGGGAGAGGGGGGAAUGUUGUGGGCCGUCGGUUAUUUUGAAAGAAUAGAAAAUUGAGUAAAAAAGAACUUGUUAGAUUGGCAACGGGAAAAAAAAAACAAAAAAUAACAGGUUCCUUCAUGUCUUUUUAAUUUAAUAUGGCAAAAAUCAACAAAACUACAUUAAAUAUUUGGUUAAUUUACAAAUAUCCCUUGAGGUUUGUGAUAAAUUACAAGGGCUUGCCAAUUGUCCUCGUGGAUAAUGUAACAAGAGGGAUUGUUUGUGAAUGUGAGACUUUUUUUUGGGGUUUAUUGUGAACUGUGUUGUAAUGAUUUUACUAAUUUUCAAGAUAAUUAUCGUAGCGACAAUUUCUACCUCAUGCAAAUCUAAGAAAGAGGAUAUUCAUAUGUACAUUUGUUUAAUAAUGUACCUAAUUUUGUUUUUCCUUAAUUGAGGAGGAAAGAUAUUUAUCAAACAUCAAAUAAAAAAAAAAAAGUGCCAAAUUUUGUAAAAGAUGGGAUUGGUGAGAUUUAAAAGUCCUUGCAAUCGCUUGUAAUAUAAACAUAUUUUUCAAUCCACUUUUUUAUAUUUUUAAUUAUUUUUUAUCUGAUAUAUAUCACGUCACAAAAAGUGUUACAGUAAUUAUUUCAAAUAAUAUUCUAUCCAAACAAAUCCAUACACAUUGCACGCACUUCGGUUAAUUGAGAACACCGUAGAAUGUGCAAUUCUUGAUUUUGCCAUGCUCUGAGAAUAAGUCACGGCUGUGAGCUCAUUUGUCGGAUGCUUCUUUCAAAAUGAAUAAUAGAACUAUGAGCAAAAGGCAAAAGAUACUCCUUAUAUUGCAAAUAUUUGCACGCAAUAGAAGGAGUGAACGCCAAAAAGAAGAAGAAAACCAUCACCAUUGGCUGCCCUUUAACUUUGAGCAACAUAAGCCCCCAUCCCCAAAGCCAACCCUCUAAUAUGUAUUCUAUGCACCAAAAAACAAAAACGAAAACAAAAAAAAAGAAUGCCACUCAUUAUUGCCAUUUUAUUAGCAAGCAAUGGAGAUUUUUGAGGGGGGAAAUUUUCAAUUAGAAAGAGAGACAGAACAUAUGUCACAGAGUGGCUAAACUUUGCAAUAACUAAAGAAAGCUUAAACAAGGAUACAAAGUCUAGACUAUAUACAUACAAAUCGACACAAGAUUCCAUACAAACCUUGAAGAACCAUUCUGGAACACUUAUGGUCUAGAAUUUUAUGUCAUCUUUUUAGUCAUAAUCACCUAAGAGAAAUCCUACUGUCUUUUGUAAACUCUCCGGCAUUGUUGAUUGCAGAUAAAAGUCCUGCGGUGGCGUAUGGUUUUUCCACAGAGGGCUGGUUGUCCACUGACCGCAUUGGAUCAAUUAAUGCUUCCUCCAGUUGUUUAUGAUAAUCAGCUUCCACGUUUAGAAUCAAGGGACGUCCUGAACGGUCUUGAUAAAUAUCGCUCGCUCGCUCGCUCCAAAACUUAUGCUUGGCACUAACUCCUCUGUUGCAAAGGAUCCAUUGCCAUUUUGAUCAUGGCCAUAGUGUUAUGAUAAUCACAAUCAUCUUCAAUAUUGAGUUCAACUGGGGGACCUUGAUGAUGAUCCUCAUUAAUUAACUGCUUGCUCCUUUCUUGAUCGUCUAAAGGUGGUAACAACUCGUCAAUGUCAAUUAAGUCGCGAUCAACAUCUCGACCUUGAUCUUCAUCACGCAUAUGAUGGCUCCCUCAUCAUGAUUUACGUCUUCAGAAAUCAUACUGAACUUUUGCUGCGGCCUCUUCUUGACGCGACAAAGAACAAUGUUUGGGAUAGAAUCCUUAAGCCUAAACUCAUCCAUAAUAUAUCCACCAUGAAUGCCCUUACCAUAAUAUAUCCCAGUUUAGUUGAUAGGCCAUUAAAGCUCACACACAGCUAACAAAUUUUUAUCUUCCUUUAAUUUCUAUAAUUUGUACACAUCACUAUUUAGAGAGAUUACAACUGACUUGUGUUCGAGUUGGCAUGGCCGUCUAAAUAAAUCUCAUUGAUUGUUAAGGACCAAAUAGUGGAACCAAUGGGUUGAAAGGUUGGUUUACCAAUGGGCACCAAGAUUCUGAACAGUAAAUGUUCAAAAUAAGUAUUCGAAUUAGCCAGGCAUAAUCUUAUUAACUUGUUCUGGUAUGUAUGAUGAUUAAUAGUAAUCUCAUCAGAAGUUGAGAUUGAUUUCCGAAACUUUUCAUGGGGCUAACAUUCGGUUCUAAGUUGAAGGGCUUUUGUUCAAAGAACUCGGGGGAGGAAAAGUUCGUUUCAUCAAGAAUUCCACACCAUCUUCCCCCCCGUCCUUCGAACCCGGGGAGGAAAAGUUAUUUUUGAUCAAUCAUUCCUUACAACAUCCCCCCCCCCCUUUUUUUUCCUUCCCUCUCCUUCAUGCAUCGUGGUGAUUGUCAAAAGUUCUGUUCCAGCAAACAGGCAUCCAUUUUACGACUCAAGGCAAAGGAGUUCACGUAUUCCAAACAAUGAGCCCAAUAAGAAGUUGAAAUAUACAUGCUAAAAAUUUGUACCCAGACCGUCAGACGAUUACCAGAUUGGACCUUUUUCUUUCCCCUUUCUGCAUGAGAACGCAGGAAUCAGGGAUGGGGGAGGAGUAGAGAUAGGAGGGUUUCUUAUUUGGAUACAGAUAAAUAUUUUCUCCACUAAAUUCAGCUGUGCUUACAUUACAUUCUUUCCCAAAAGGAAGUUACACCACUCAAGACCACAACAUCAUAAACCAUGCUCUUCCAUUCCCUUUUCCAGUCAUCAUCUAAAACACCAGGGGGCCAACAAAUCAUGCUCGUGAUUUGGGGAAAGAAAAAGAAUGUGGAUUGGAAAAGAAACGCGUCCUGGGAACUCCAGUCCACCCCUAUUGUUUACCAUUCGGUUUUGGUGAGUUUUGAGGAAACUGAUGAUGAUACGGAGAAGCAUGAGAGCCAUUUGGUAUGGAAAGACUCCUAGGAUGUUGUCCAUUUCUCGUGAAUGAUGCAACUUGUGAUCUUAUACCAUUUCUGGUGUUUGGACUGGAUCCUACGCGAUCAGUUUGCAUGGUCUGAAAAUAGUAGGAUGAGCUGGCCAUGUCCUUGAGAGCAGGCAAAGGUCUCAAGGCUUCCACAACUUCACUCAUUAGCGGCCUGGCUUUUGGGUCUCGGCCAAGGCAGCGAGCAGCCAAUUGUGCAGCUUUCUGUGCACCUUUAAUCGAAAAAUGGCCUUCCAGCCUAGGGUCUAUCAAUCGAUAAAACCUUCUUCUCUCGCCAAGAUGAGGCCGGGCCCACUCUACCAGGUUAUGCUCCCCGUUAGGCCGGUUCUUGUCCAUCGAUCUCCUGCCUGUUAGCAUCUCAAGUAAAACCACGCCAAAGCUGUAGACAUCACUCUUCGACGUAAGGUGCCCUGAGAAAAAAAUUACAUGUCUGAUUAGAAAUUAACAGCUAAAUACACAAUGAUCACGUAAGUUGCAGCCACCAAACACUCGACUCCAUAAUGAAGCUCAAGAAAAAGAGAAGCUAAACACGCUAUCCAUAAUUUCAAGUAUUGUUCUACCACAUAAAAAUCUUAGUUAUUAGAAUUACUGAUGAUUUAGUGAGAAAAGCUAGUCUAGCUCCAGCUUUCUGUGUGAGAUUCAAUGUAUUGACAUGAUUGCGCUCCCUUGGUCCUAUGAAGACAUCGAAUAUAAGUAGCACGUAGAAUAGAAUACUCAGCAGCCAAGCAUAUAUAAUCAAACAGAUGAAUGUCCUAUGACCAUGUUAAUUGGGCUUUUAUUUGAAGUAGCCAAGUUCCAUGCCAAUUCAAACGGUAGCAAGAAUAAUGACCACAGAUAUGCCAGAAGCCCCUCAUUCUCACAAGACAAGCGGGCACACACGGCAAGGGAAAAUUGUGAGACAACAAGGGGUCGGGAUUAGCAUAUUUUCCAACAGCAGUGAAACAUCCAUCACUACAGGUCAAGCUUUGGAAAAGACAAAAUUAAGCCUCCAAUAUGAUUGAAUAACCUACUUUUAUUGCCUUCACAGCCGCCUUUUCUAUCUUUCUUUCUUCUCUAGAGGAAUAGCAUGCAAGAAACAAAUAUCAAUAAUAAUUAUAACAAGAGAUCAAGAUUACCUGUCAUCACAUAUUCUGGGGCCGCAUAACCAUAUGUUCCCAUCACACGAGUAGAGACAUGAGUCUUAUCCCCCUCUGGACCAUCCUUGGCAAGUCCAAAAUCAGAAAGCUUGGCAUUGUAAUCCUACAAACAAAUGAUGUUUUAUUAGGUAAAGGGUAAAUGGCCCAAUUGCAGUUUAGUUCUCUGUGCUUUGUACUGAUCUCAAUUUAGUACAUCAUAUCUUGCACUCGCCAUAUUUUAGCCCAAGCAUAUUUUAGUCACAACCUACUUUUGUCCCUCGUGUUUCACUAAUGGCAUAAUUAAUCCCCAAUAUCCUAAGGUUUGAUUAUUUUUGGUUAUUUAGCUAUAAAGCAAACAUACAAACUGUAAAACACAGUGGACGAAAUACUGUCAAGUAAAAACAUGGUGGACUAAAUUGAUACAUAUACACAACAUAAGCAAUCAAAUGUCUUAAAAGUUGCAAAAUAGAAGAGUAAAAUGGAACCAGAGCAGAAUUUUGAAGACUCAAACAGCAUUUCCCAGAAUGAUAAUACAAGUUAAUUCAUAUAAAUCCUGAAGUGUUGAUCACAUACUGCAUCUAACAGGAUGUUUGAGGUCUUGAAGUCACGGUAUAUAACUGGCCUCUCUGCUUCCUCAUGGAGAAAUGCAAGACCUUUUGCAGCACCUAGAGCAAUUUUCAUCCUGAUAGACCACGGAAGAGGAAGGGACCCUGCACAAAAAGAACAGGAGUUAAAUUGAAGUAAAAAUGGAAAAUCAUACGCAAAGCCAGUAUUUACAUUUACGUUGCAAUAGCACCACAGUACCAACAACAAAGUGAAUGAAGUGAAUACUUGGUACCGUCAGAUUAAAAUUACACCUCUGAUACCAAGCUCAAAAAUGGUACAGACAAUCAGAGAACUAGACAAGGAUGAAGAUAGGAAACAGGAUUGUGAAAGAUGUCCACAGUUUGCUUUAUUUCCAUCAUAAUAUUAUGUGAAGGCAUUAAGCAUGUAGCUAAGGAUAUUUCAACAGUAUUACUAUCCCUCACCAUGAUCUAUGAGUAUUAUCAUUCAAUGAAUCUGACUCUGAUCAGAAAAAGGAUUGGGUAAGUGACACCUACAUAACAUUGACCAUUGAUAUCCAGAAACCAAUACUCAAACCAAUAUUCAAGAACAGAAAACAAAAACAGUAGGUAAAGUUGAAGAUACAUGUCCUUACUACAUCCUCGCUUUUUACUCAUAUUCUCUUUUACUCCAAUACUCUUUCUGGCACCCAAGCACCUCCAUCAAACCAGGACUAGAAACACCAUUUUUCCCCUUUUAUCAUGGAAAAACCUACUACUCAAGGGGAGGAUGAUGGAAGACCAAACCAGUUAAAGAAUUGGUAAAGAAAUUCAUUAACCAUCUGAGACAACCCUAAUUCAUAAUUAGGCAAGAAUUGAUGUAUGUUUAGUUAAAGAGAUAGCAUUAGAAAUUUCAAGAGUCAGCCAACCUGCAUUCAAGCAUCAAUGGAACAAUAAAAUGAGCAACACUCUGAACUAAAACAGAAUGAAUUGGUAAUACAUAAAGAACUUUGGAGAAUAAGUAGCAAGGCCAUUCAGCCAGUACAGAAAUAACCAUACCAUUUCUUGAAGCUUGUGGGACCACAUUUAAUAAAAUACAGCGAACUCCAACAUGACAAAUAUAAAUACCCCGUAUCCUAAAUGGAAGCCCACACAGGGAGGCACAUGCAUAAGUCCAUAUAAAUCAUAAUUAGCACUUCAAACAUAUUCCUCAACAAGAUGGGUUACAAGCUUGUCAUUUUAUUAUUUAUUUAUUUAUACACUUUUUGGUUUUGUAGAACCGGUAUAAGCUUGUCAAAUGUCAUACAUAGACAAGAUGAUCUCUUCAAAGUAUCACUUUUACAAUUCAACAUGAGGAGGAGAAGAAACUAUCAUUGAACAAAAUUUACAAGAGUACUAAUUACAUACUCCUAAAGAGAUGGUUCUCCAAGCUUCCCCGAGGCAUGAACUCAUAAACUAGCAGUCUUUGAUCAUCUUCAAUACAGUAACCAAUAAGCUUAACCAAAUUAGGAUGGAUAAGAUCGCCAAGAAAACUUACUUCGGCCUGCCAAAUUUAAUUAAAAAUUUAGAAUGACCAAAAGUUAACAAGGACAAAUUAGAAAAACAGCAUCAAAAGCAAAGUUAUUCAAGAAAGCAUCAAACCAGCCAUUCUUUGUGACCCUGAAGCCCAUCAUGAUUGAGAGUUUUCACAGCAACGGUAAGCCCCGUUCCAGGUUUCACUGGCGCUGUUCCAUUCUCUUCAAUCCAUCCCUUAAAUACACAACCAAAACCUCCUUCACCAAGAAGAGACUCUGGUCUAAAAUUUCUGGUCGCCAGUUUCAGAUCAUUAAAUGUGAACUUUCGAAGCCGAGAAGCAACCUUUAGCUCCUCUUCAAGUUUGGAUGUGGAUGAAUUACUUUCUGCAGUACUGGUGGCUGUCGAAGAAAUUAUUGCAGCAGCUGGUUGAUCUCGACUAGUGUCAUUUGCAGACUUGGUUUCUGCAGACAUGCACAAAAGUGGAAAACAUAAGGUACAGGAUAUAAUCUUGUAUAGAAGAGAAAACCUAGGAAGAAUUUAUCUUGUUUAGCAAUUAGCAUUUAGCACACAGUAUUCUUGAAGACUAUCACAUUCCAAGAAAUCACAGCCAUGUGCUACACAGGGAAAAUACUAGACAAAGGCAACCAGUAUGGAGACAUCACUGAGCAAACAUGAGCAAGUAGUCAGACAGCACUACAAGAGAAUCAAUGGAAGGUUCUGAAGUGGUUCUAUGAGAUGCUUGACUUAAACAACAGAAAGCAAUAACUUUAAUCCCAUUAAAUGAGGUACUCUCAUAUCUGCAGCGAGAGGCUGGAAACAUCAGAAGUUUGAAUAACCACCUGCCAAUUGGUGCUUAUGUGCAACCAAGGAUAAAAUGUCUCCCUUCGUCUCUUAUCCCUGUUAUUAUCCAUGCGUGUCAUGGGGAUAUGUUUGACUAAAAGGCAUCAAAAAUCAAAUACAUUUCCCAGCACUGACAUUAUUUGGACCAUUCAAAUUGAUUUCCUAGCAAAUUACAACCCCUUAAUUGAAUUGGUUUCUGCAACUAUACUAGAAAACCUCAAUUUCCAUUAAGUAUAGAAAUUUCAAAUACUUGGUCAAAAUCAUUAAGGGCAUGCCCAGAAUAUUAAUUUGAUUUACCAAAAAUGGGUUACAGUGGCAAUCCAUUACUGUCAUAAGCUACAAUAAAGAAAUAAUAAAAAAGGACUUUCAAGUACUCCUUAAGAUUUUUUCUUUCGCAAAUUGUAGUCUAAAGACUAGCAAUUCUGUCAAAUUUAACAAUUUCAAUACCAUUUCCUUUUAAUAAAAGGAUGUAUCCCACAUUGGUCCAUGGAAGAGGUUGCAAUCCAUGUAUAGAAUAUACAAAUCUCAUGAUAUAAAUAUCCAAAAAGAUUAAAACGGAAUAAGCUACAAACAUUGAGGUACUCUAUCCAUGAAAAAAGCAAAGACCUCCCCCACCCCACAGCCAACAAAAGGACAAUUAGAUUAUACUGGAAGUCUUAUUUGUGUUUUGAUUUCUUUUACCUUCCCUCCAAUUUUUGUCUCAUUUUCAGGUUUUCAAGGGAAGAAAUGGUGGGACUGGGACAGUGAAAGCUACCUGCCUACCGAUAACACCAUCUGACUUCAAUUGCUCAAACCAAAAUCUGAAAUUUCUCAUGAGGCAUUGCUUAUAUCACCUAGAGCUUGGCAUACCAAUAAGUAAAGAACACGUGAAAUCACGAAAAAAAGAUGAUGACCAUGCUCUGGAAUCUGGAGAAAGGACAACAUGCUCAAGCGAAUUAAGUAAAACACACAAGCAGAACAUGUACGCACAAUUUCACCACAUAUGAUACGAAAGUGUUCAUGUAGACUGAGAACAAGCUUAGCUGAAACAAUUAACUCAACCUUAAUCAGUUCAAUUGAGAAAAAGGAAGGAAUCUUGCAAAUACCAUAGUGAGUACUGAUGCCACUGAUAGAGCUAUCCACUUUAGAUCUUGAAGAAAUACAGCUGCCAAUAAACCUUAACUUCCUCCAACAUCCAGUCUCCACGGAACCACCUCUCUCUUUCUUCUUCUUCUUCCCCUCUGAUUUUCCAACAUCCCAAGAUUCCACCUUUUCACCAUCACCUCCUCCAACUAAUCCCAUCUUUCACAACCCCUAAAAUAGAACUCAGAUGGCAUCAAAAAACUCCCAAAAUCACACCUUUCACCAAAGGCCCACCUCCCCCUUUCCCAAAGCCCUCAAACAAAUUCCCCAACUAGCCCUUAUACAGAACUCCUAUUUCCAACAAAACCCGACAAAAAUCAUCCAAAAUAGCUCAAACCAGGUUCAGUAAAUCAGCCAAAGACUCUAAAAUACAACCCAAAUACCCGAAAGGGCCGCCAGAAAUCCCAAACUUGUAGGCCAAUCCUUCGAAAACAGUUGAAACAGCUCAAGCCCAGUAGGAAAAACCAACCAAAGAUCACAAAUUUGCUCCAAAAGAGCUCAAAUAAUCAGAUCACAUGUUUGAUCUUCAACAAAGUAGAAAACUUUACCCCCAGUUGAGGAAUAGAACAGAUUGAUAGUGCAGGCAAGCAAGCAAAGCAUAGUAAAAAAACAAAAAAAAAAAAACAGAGCUGGAAUCAGACAAUAAUUCCAGUUCAAAAGUGCCCCCCAGAAAUGUCUGCACCUCAAAGAUAUCCCAACAAAAGAGAACUAUUAUUCUGACCAAUUCAAUGCUCGAAAAAGAAAAAGAAAAAAAGCAAUUUAUUUUCUCUGAUAUGUAUGCGUAAUGUAUAUACACCUCUGGAAAUGAGAAAUAAUUAUUGUAAUGAAAUGUGAAUUAUCGGUUCUUACAUUUUUUAAUAGAAACGAAGACCGAAAAAGCUAAUGUGGAGCUGCCCGGAGAACGCGGGCAGAAAAGUUGAAUUUACGUAAAUAGUUAUGAGACUGCUAACUAUUUACGGGUUAAAACUUAAUAAAUAGAAACCAAAAUUACUUGAACAAUAAAAACGGAGGUCAUCGGUGAUAAAAAAAAUUAAAAAAUUCAUUCUUCUUGAACAAAUUAAACCAAAUUUGUACAAUGUCUAAUAGAAAUCAAUUCAAGCCCUAAAGAUAAAGUAUAAGGCUUAGUUUGGGAGUUUAUGAUAGAAAAGAAAAGAAGGGAAAGCUUAAGUCACGAGAGAAGAGAUUGUUAUAUUGUUUGGGAGUUUUGAGAAUUAGUGGAAUGAUUUUGGAUAUGGAAGUCAUUAAAUAUUUAUUCAAGGCAUUUUUAAGGACAAAAUAGGCAUUUUAGAAAAAUUAACAAGCUUUCUCCAAACUUUCUCUCCAUUUCUUUCCAAUUUGGGAGGAAACAUUUUUGUCACUAUUCAUCCUCUCAUUUCCUUUCUUUUCUUUCCUACUUAAAACUAUCAAACAAAGGAAAAUCACUCUUUCACCUCUUUUCUCUUCUUUUCUAUCCAAAUCAUUCACUCCCAAAUGAACCCUAAAGCUUGAAUCUUAAUAUAACCGAAUCAAGUCAAUUGAGUUUAAUUUGAUAAAAAUUUAAAUCUUUCACCUCUUUUCUCUUCUUUUCUAUCCAAAUCAUUCACUCCCAAAUGAACCCUAAAGCUUGAAUCUUAAUAUAAUCGAAUCAAGUCAAUUGAGUUUAAUUUGAUAAAAAUUUGUUUAAAUUUGAUUCAAAAAAUAAUCAAACUGAAUAGGGACACAAGUUUAAAUUUAUUAAGGAAUAAAAGUAUUUUUAAAUUUUCAAAAUGCAUUUUGAUUGCAUAUUUUGAGAAGUUCUUAAAAAAAAUUACUAUAAUAUUUUUUAAAAUAUGAUGCACGCGAAGAGAAAAUAUCAAGUAAAAGGAGCAAACAUUCACAAAAACUAUAAAUAUUUGUCUCUAAAAAAAUUCCAAUCGCACCUUGGCUAAAACUGAGAGCAGGCUUCAUUUAAAAUCCACGAAUUAGCGCUGCAAGAAAAAAUACCGAGGCUAUUGCAAACGUUUUAGUUGGAGGGGCAGUUUUGGAAAUUCGAGCGGUAUUGAAGAGGAGAGCUGUCAGUUUUCAAGAAGUGAGAAGUGGAAAGAAUGGGCAGCCUGGGCACGAGAGAGUAUAAGAGGGCGGGACCCACAUGUACGGUGACGUGCCCGCCUCAAGUGUGCGGACGCCAACACGGGCGUCAGGAAUGAUAUUAAGGGCAUUUUUCCUUAAAUCUUAAAUUAUUUUUCUCUGUUUUUCCACUAAACGGAAAAAAGCCAUCGUGAAUUCUAUUUUAAAAGCUCUCGUUGAUCAAGCAGAUUAGUGGAGAAAAGAAGUGAAAUUCCAGACCAUAUGUGGUUCGUAUUUUCUCAAGAAAAGAAAAAUGAGAAGAAACACGAAUCAUUUUGAAACAUAAGAAAUGAAGGGCCCCGUCGGAUUUUUAGUUCCGCAAAAAUUUUUUAAAAGUGAUAUUUUGAUAUUAUUUUUUUUAUUUCAUAUACAUCAUCACAUCACAUCACAUCACGUAGUUACCAUCAUGCAUAUUUCUAUAAAAAAAAUUUUAAAAUAAAAAAAACAAAACUCUGAGACAAGGAAAACAAAAUGAAAUUUAAUCAUAUGAUUAGCAGCCAAUGAGUGGGAUAACUUCUAAGCACCGGCUUAAUAAUAAUUACACAAAAAAGCAAACAAUCUGCCAAAGCGAAGAUUCGAAAGUUGGGGAGGGGCACAGUGAAGGGAGUCUGAAAACAGCAGUGCCCCCAUCCCUAUCUUCUAUGCUGACUUGGAUAAAUGAGUUGCACCCUUCUUCAAAUGUUGACCAUCAAAGUGCGAGUAGGUUGCGGCAAAAUUCCUUUGGUUGCUUAAUUUUCACCAAUAUUAUUAGUAUUUACAAGGGAUAGGGGGGGGGGGGGGGGGGAGAGUAGACUUUAAUGGGCACAUAAUGAUAUUAAAAUAGAAAAUACGAUAUGGGGUUGAAAUGGGAGCAUAGCAUGUGAAAGCCACCCCUGGCUUGGCUGGCUUAGAUUAGGUUUUUCAUUCAUUUAUUAUCUACCAAGACUGCUGCUGCUGCUGUGAUAUUUUUGUUCAACAAUUUUAGGGAAAGGAAGUUGCAGUGAUUCACCAAAUUCUUUGACUUUUGAUGAUUGACAAAAGGUUUAUUUGCAUGUGAGGGUGAGGGUGAGGGUGAGGGUGAGGUGGGGGCUUUCUUUUUCUCUGAAAUUGAGGGAAUUGAAGAAAGCCAUGAAAUAUGUGGAUUGAGUUGGGUGAUAUUGAAGCAUGAAUUGGAAAAAUAACUCGUUGCAGCAAACCACUUAUACAUGAAACUGCAAAAAAUAAUAAUAUUUAAAAAGUUUCAAGUAUGAUUUCUUAUUUGGAUUGUUAUUUUUUUUUCUUUUAUUUCACAUGUAUUAUAUCGUUACAGUAUAUAUAUAUAUAUUUAUAUAUAUUUUUUUUUUACAAACUUUUCAAAAAAAAAAUUAUCAAUUCAAGCAUAAUUAUACGCUAGAACGGAAAUGCAUCCAUAGAUCUAGGAUGAAACAACAGACGAAUUGAUCUGCGAGACAAGAAAGAGGAUGUGCAAAUUAUUCUGCAACUUAAAACCGUACAAGUGUAAUAAAAUGUAACUUAAUAGAUCAGGCUGGAAAACACUACUGUAGCGGAUUUUUGUCAAGGCUGAGUUGACUUGCGAGCACUAUUUUAUUUGCUACUGUAUAACUGUAGAAUACGAUAAGCUGAUGGUUGUUUCAACAUAUAUUUUUUUUAUAGAGAAUAUCCCUUCUUAAUUUGUAUUAUAAAUUGAUAAUGUGACCCCUCUGAAAGUGAAAGCUACUACUAAAUGUUAACGUCCAUGUAAUUUUUAUCUUAUCUCCCCUUAUUGUGAUUGAUGUGUGUCUUUUUAUUUCUUUUACACCAAGCCGUGAAAAUAAUGGACCCAUGCUACAUUCUUCUACAGUGCUAUUUGAUGUUCAAGGACAUCAAUUGCCACAAAAUGAACUACACGCUAAACCUCAGGUGAAAAUGGAUGGCCUGCCCUGUCUGAAACUGAAAGCCCAAGGACAACUUGGUUCAGUUUUUUGAGUGUUGAUUUACAUUCUCCAAUUUAGAGGCAAAUCCGCAGCAAUUAACUCGAAUUCUCCUAGGAAAAAGGUUGACACUUGCAAAGAGAUAAACAUCAUCCCAACGAGGAGAGAACAGUUGAUAAAAUCCCAUUGUACUUUUUAUCUUUUCUUCUUUCUCCUCAUCUAGUCUCCGAGUGAAAAGAACAAUCGAGAGUAUGCACGUCGCAUGACAAUUGUUGAUGGCAAAUUGGCCACUUGACAAAUCUCCAGAGAACGACUGGACUGCAGUUGAAUCUCCAGUGUCUUUCAACUACAGUCGGAUUUUGGCACUGUCGAAUAUGAUUGUGGCUCUGCUGCAAAUAUCCGAAAACCAAACCUUAUAAAAAGCACCACUUGCCCGACUACUACUAGCUCAGGUUUCCAUUAAGAGUUGGUGCAACUUGCAAAAGCAAUCUUCGCGAGAAUAGAAAAAUGCAGACAUUGGCAGAGGAACAAAAGUUUGGUCAGGGAACCAUGCCAAGCUAUAAACCCACGAAGCUCUAUAAAGGGGCAGUCUCAGCCUCCGAAUGGGAUUUUAUAUCCGCAGCUGCAAGUAUUCCCGGAUGAUGUCUUAGGAUCAGAACUAAAAUUUUGCAAGAGAUAAAACUACAAUAUUCCAGUAGCCACAAUGACAUCUCAUAGAAAACAUAGAUUACCUCAAUCGAAUUUGUUUUUUUAAAAAAAUAAUAAUAAUAAUAAAUCAAAAUGGCCCCGUACAUAUUCACAAUGAAUGAAAACUCAAAUUGAAAAUUUGAGAUAUUGAAUUAUUUUUCACGGAACUCAAUUGUACAAAUACAGCUUUAACAGCAUAUCUCCUAUUCUAACCUUUACUUGAAUCUGUAAAUCGUACAUGACUAUGUAUGCCUGUUUGGUCUCUACACCAUUCAACAGUCCGUCAGACCAUUCCUGUGGCAAUGCUAGACGUAGCAUUAAUCUUUAGUGAAUGCUCAGGCACAUAGGUAAGCCCUGCCAAACACCAGAACAAAACAAAAAUGGAUAAAGGACAUAAACAAGGUCAUAUACCAGACAAAUUACAUAUAAGCCUAGUCUGUAUAGCCUUUACAAUUCUACAAAUUGAAGAAACUGCAUACAUCAAAAGUGAAAACCCAAUCGAAUUGGUAACUGGUAUCAACACCAAGUCAUUAACUCAGAAGCCAUCCUUGACCCCAAACAAUCAACAUUCUUUGUAAAAUCAAGUGUUGCAAACAAAUCUCCUUCCCUGUAUCUGUGCAGUUUGCAUCAGGUAAUUAUUGCAAGAAAAUUUUGACAUCUUUUGGCUAAAUGUUCCUAGACAACACUUCUGAUUGUUUGCUUUUCGUCAAGCUUCUUUCAUAGGUUAAAUCUUUUGCUUUUUGAGAUAAUUUGUGUUCAUAAUCACUGAUUGAAACAUAUCAGAGUCAAAGGAUGAUAUGCAAUACUUCACUACUCAUCUUGGUUUUAAUACAAAAACCUUAUAAUCUCAAGAACAAUCACAAAGAAAAGAUAUGAACUCAACAAAAGGACCCAGAGAUACCUUUCUCCUUAACGCCAAUCUGCAAAGAAUCAAGAGCAAUGAUUCCAUCCCUCAAAGGAAGUACCUCAAGCUUGAUAGUUGAUGUACACUGAGCAGGAAUGCAUCUGAAGCAACCAAGUUUAGUUCAAGAGGGGGCAGAUUGAAAUUGAGAGGAAAAAAAACACUACAAUGGUGUUUUCUGUAUGUGCAUGUGCGUGUGAAGGAAAGAGAGGGAGAUUACCCAAGUGGCACUCUACUUUGCAACCAGAGAUGUGUACAGCCUAAAUCAUUGCUCGGAAGGACAUCAGAUAAAUGAAUAACUUCAGCAUUCAAUGAAAUAGACUGAUAUCCACCUUUCCCUCCCUGACCUUGAUCCAUGAAAACUGAGACUUGUGUAUGGCCAGCAUUGCUGCUUCUUUCACUACUCACUCUUGUUGUCAACUCAGAAGAAUUGAUAAAUGGGCUUGCUGGUGAUGAUGGUGAAGAACUCAAUGACAGAACAGAUGGUGGUGAAGUAAAUGAUGCUGGAGCAAGAACUGUCAAUGUAAGAUCUUCAGAUGUCAAAUUUGAAGCCUGAAGUGUUAACACCUGACAGUUUCAAGAAUCAAGAUAAAUGCUUUGCAAAUAGAGAAAUAAAGAACACAUUUGCUUCUCAGAUUUAGGUAAAACCUGAACUGAAAGCGGAGCAACUCUUCCAUCAGAUCCAAUAGCUUGUCUUGACCUUUCAGAAGCAACAGAUAUCAUAAUAUCCCUAGAUAUACGUGGCCUCCAGCUUGUAGCUUGUUUGAAGAACAACCUUGAUUCUAGAAUUUAAUAACAUAUAGGUAUAAAUGAAGUAUAAUUAUAUUAACCAAUUCGGUACCGUAACUAACAGAUAAUCAGCAGUAAUUUAUACCAGUGAAGUUGCUCCUACAUGAUACAAGAAUUGCAUACUGAUCAGCAGACGAGCCACUUUGUUUUCCUUCGCUGUAAAUGGAUUGACGCCAAGUUGUUACUGCAUUUCCAGCAGCUAAACUUGAUGACUCAAAACUUUUUUCACCAUGACUUCUAGGGCUCUUCCAUAAUGAAGCUGCUGGUUUAAGAAUAAAGGAGUGUUCUUCCCCUCUCCUGGAAAGACAGCAUAACAACUAAACGAUUGAGAUUCUAGGGAAUCUAGAUUAGCAACACUUACUAGUCUAUUAAAGUCCAUUUGUUUCGUUAAAUACAUGACCUGGGUGAUGCAUUCAAGUCGAUGAACACAAGUAAAUGAAUGUGAAAGCAUAGGCAAUUUAUACUCAUGAGAGAAAAGUUAAGAAACCUCUUGCUUUUCCAAGCAUAAAAAAUGGUUUCAAGACCUAAUACUGAACCAUAGGUGAAAAGCAACCUGAGUUCUAAAUUUGGCAAACUGUGCUCAUUGCCAGCUUCAAUGCAUGCAAUUGGAAAACACAAAGGUGGUCCACCAGUUGAAGCCUCUUCAUAGACGAUUGUAAUGGCAUCUAUAUACACCACAACCUCUUGCAAAUGAACAGGAGAGAUGUUCUGCAAUACAAGUAAAUGAAUAUACAUCAGAUGUUUCAUCAGAAGGUUCCUUCGAGCCAAAGUAGGCAGAACAAACAUAAAAAGGAACUAGUACCAUAGUUUACCUGUCGUUUUUUUAAUUCAAUAUUCAUUUCUUAAAUGAUCUAGCAGAUCUACUAUAAAAACGGGCUUUCGACCACAUUAAGAGACGCUAACAGUGUUAAUGACAAUAAGAGAAAACAGGGCUGACCUUCACUUGAACACAAACAAGGUUAUCUGAGUUGCAAUCUGCAGCAGUAGAACAAAUUUCUACAGGUUGAAUUAUUUCAAUUUUCCUUCUCCACCGUCUUCCUGGUGUAUAAAUGCCUUCCAGACCACAGCGAGUAGAAAAUCGCUCUGGCUCCAAUGACACACCUCGGAAUGAUAAAAGCCCUUCACUCCUGUUCUUUUGACUAAUUUCAAACUUCUGAAAUGAGAACUGAUCCCUGUCAUCAACGUCAGUGUUUGGUUUGGGACUGGGGGUUGUAACAGAUGGGGUUGGUGUACUAUUUGGUGGCAGGGAUGACAUGGAAUAACUUCUAAAAUGGCCAAAAGAGAAAAGCUGAGAACCAGAUGAGGCAGAUGCACUAGCUCUUAUGGACGUGCUCCGGAUGCUUGAACUCAUACUUAGUUGAGGUGGUGAUAAAGGACGAGAUGGAGGAGGUAUGGAAUUAUCCAAAGGAAGCAACCACCUCAAUAAUUCCCCACAUGGAUCAUGAUCCACGCCAACAAGAUUCUCCCCCUUCUCAGGAGACAAAGCUCUGUCCUGAUGCCUCUCGAAUUGAAGAACUUCCAGAACAGGAUCUCUGAGCAAAUCUACACCAACAUUUAUCUGUAAAAGCACCUGCAUCCUUCCAAACAAUAAGAUGGAAUGAAAAUCAGUAGUACUCCAACCCAAUAAAUGUCAUGAUUAAAGGAAAUAUCUAUUUUGGAAAAAGAUAAUCAGGUACCAAUAAAAAGAAACUUCUUUACAUAUCAGAAUACCAAAAAAAACGUAGGUUCUUAGUUCCAAAAUAUGAACGCUCAGAUACCAUACUUAUAAUUCUCAACAAACAUGAGAUAAAAUAUUCAAGAUGGGAUAGAAUUAUGUAAAGCAUACCACUAUAUCUCCAUUGGGAAGAGAGAGACACUUGAUAGCAUUUCUUGCCAAACCCCCAGUGAUGCUCGAAUCGCAGCUUCCUCUAUCGACAAUUGCGCUUAGAGCAACCUUUCUUCUUGCACUCUUGCUUAUUGAACUAUCAAUAUUAAACUUCUCAGCCACUUCUGAAGAAUCCAGAGAUUCUGAUGGAGCUCUUCUUUUAGACCAAAGUGGCUCAUCUGACUCCGCAAUUCGAACAAAAAAAUGCGAGUUUUCAAAUUUUUUCAGUAACAUUUCAGUCUGCCUUCUGUGAUCUUCCAUUCUAAGAAGAGAUUCACCAUCAGAAAUAUAAUUUUGUGAAUCCCUUCUGCCUUUAUUCAGGCUAUGCAGAUUCACAUCUUGAUCAUCGGAACUCCCUUCCUUCAUUCUUUCUGGAACAGGAUUAUUUUCACCACUGGUGUUACUGUUCUCUUUCUCGGGACUAUGUCCAAAACCAUUUUUAUUCAUCACUGCAGCCACUUUAAAGGGUGUAAUAAUUUCCAUAUCCUGCUUACAUACCGACAAGCAGAGUAAUAUAUGAAGUUGCUCACCUGUGAAACAGAAAACUUCAGAAAUCAGAAGGAACAAGAGGCAGGAGGGAAGAAUAAAUUAUAAACUGAAACCUGAACUCUUUUACUAAACAAAAAAGGGUAGCAGAAAUGAAAAUAUGAAAAUGAAAGCUGAAGGAUGCCCCCAAAGAUGAACUACCUGGAAAUACAAAAGAGCGGUCCAGAGGACGAAACGAGGACAUAUCUGGUGCAUCACUCCAAUUCCUAGGAAGUUCCUCUGGAGAAGAAUACAUGGUUAUGAUUAAUCUUAUCUUCAGCUUUAUUGGAAGCCAUUCAAGAAAUCUCAGGAAUCCAUUUCAAAAAUAGGAAGAAAAACUACUAAAAAUAGUUUCCAGCAUAUGUUUUACUCUCUCAAUAGAGGAAAAGGAUAUCAUGACAUUUUUUAAAAAUUUAAAAAAAAAAAAACACACACACACACACAGGACUUUCCAAAAUAGUGAAAUCAAUACAUUGGCUGCAGAAAAGAUAAAGACUAAGCUGCACACUUUCUCUUAAAAUUUAUCAAGUUGGUUUGGUGACACCACCACUAAGAUAGCAUGAUAAAAACCAAAACAGAAAGGAAAGAAAAGAGGCUGUACUGUAUGGAAUGGCUAUCCAUCCCUCAUCUUCAGAAACAUCAACAUGUGUGCCUUCAACAUGAGAGUUACUCUUUGCACUUGUGUGGUCAAAACUCCCAUUUUCAGUCCCGUACACUUCACUAUCUCCAUUCCUACUUUCAGCCACCAUAUUUUCAGGAAAUGGAUCUUCAGCAAUAAGACCCUCUAGAGUUGUUGCAAGUUUCACACGCUGAUGUGCAUCUCCUUGAAUUUCUUGAGCAUAAGAUUGCUCAGAAGAAGCUGCAGUCUGAUUUGACCGCAGCCCCAAAAAGUUCAUUCUUGCACCAAAAUUAACCUCUGCAGCUUUGCAACCGAAAAAUGAAUUCUGCAACAUUAAGCACACCCAUAUCUUAGAACUUCACCCCAAAUUUCUACUGCGCUAUACAUAAAUACUCCAUUUACAAAAUGGCCACACGAUACAGACACGUUGAAAAAAAAAAGGACUAAUGCAAUUCCUGGCAAAAAUUAAAUUCUGCAGCUUUUGAAUUAUAAAACUUUUUUUUCUGCAAAUUAAACGACCAGACCUCGAGUUGAGACAGCAGUAUAGAUUCAAUCUACUACAUUUAGCCACAAUUUACAUACAUAUACACUAAAUAAAAGCACUGAUGCAAAAUUUUCGUCAAAAAAGAAAUACAGCAGCAAAUGUGACGGUUUGAAUAGUAAGCGAAAUUAACAAAUCCAAUUACAGGCCAGAAUUAGAGAAGGAAUUGGUAGAAAUGCAUCCUUAUAUUUUAUUGAUGAAUAACCCUAAUAAUUUAAGUAAGCUCGCUUUAGAAUGUACGAAGAAAGAUCCACCGUAGGGAAUGAGAAAAUGUGAAAAGGAAACAAGUGAUCGGCGACUGGACUGAUGAAUUGAAUACCUGAUCGGAGAUAAUGUUGGAGAGAUGCAGCGAAGAAGGAGCGGGGCAGGCGGCUCGGAGCCGGUGUAAGAUCGGGUGCCAGUGGAGUUGGAGCCCGGAUCUGCGUUAGAUUGGUAAGUGUCACUUUGCACUUCGCUGUUCAGUAGCACCACUAGCUAGCGUACUACGGUCGACUGGAGCCACCUUUCCUAAACCCAUUUAGUUUGCAUUUGAUUUAUGUUAGGUGGGGGAGUUUGGGGAAAAAACAUUAUUAUUAAUGAACUCUUGUUUUCGAUUAUUAUUUUAAUUGAUUAUAGAUUACAAAUCAGAUUUUUGUAGUCUUUUCGAUUUUUUUUCUUUUUUUAUAAAAUCUGAAGUACUAAAUGGAGAACAAAUUUUAUAUUAGGGUAAAAUACAAAAAAAAAACCUCUGUGAUAAAUCUAAUACACAGAAAAAUUCCCUAUAAUUUCAAAAUAUACAACACGAUAUCCCGUACUUUGAGCUAAAUUGUAAAUGUGAUAGAAUCCGUUAAACUUAACAAAAAUGACUUAGUGGAACCUAAAAAAAAAUCUUUAUACCUAAUUUUUAAUAAAUAUACAUGUUCUACCCCUUCACCCUCAAUUCUCUCUAUCUAGAGAAUAAAACAAAUCAUUUUUUUAAACUGUCUUUUGCUUAAUUAUAUCAGAGCAUAUUUGUCAAUUCGUCAAUUUCCAUUAAGUUUAACGGAUUCCGUCACCUUUACAAUUUAGUUCAAAAUGCGGGGUGUUGUAUUAUAUAUUUUGAAAUCACAAUAGACUUUUCUGUGCAUUAAGUUUACCAUGGCGGCUUUUUUGUUUUUUACCCUUUAUAUUAUGACUGGUAAAUUAAGUAUGAAAUUUGCUUUGACGGGUGUCUGAAUAUUUUGGAUCGUGGCAACAUUUGCUGGGCAAAGUUUUCUACAGGGAAAAUCAUUCAAAACAUCCCUCACAUUUUGUAAAAUAAUUUUUUCGUCCAUCACUUUUAAAAGUAUAAUUUUAUGUCCCUUAUAAAUUCACAUUGAUUAAAUUUGGUCCCUAUCUAGGUUUCCAGCUAGUUUUUAAUAAGAAUCCAUCACAUGCCUUACACGUGAUUAUUUUUUAGGGGUAAAUUUGUCAAAUCAAAUUUUAUAAUAUGAUCCAUAAUCCCUCACAUUUUGUAAAAUGAAUUUUUUCGUCCCUCACAUUACACAAAAUGAAUUUUUUCAUUCCUCAUAUUUUAUAAAAUGAAUUUUUUUUAUCCCUCGUUGACUAUGUGUAUAAAUAGUUUUUUUUAAUUAACGUGUGUAUCUAUUUAAAUUUACUUGAAUAAUGUGAAUAACAUGUAAUAUAUCUCUAUUUGAUUUCACCCAAACAGGUUAAUUGUAAUUGUAUACAUGCUAUUCAAUAGAUACAUACAUGAGUUUAAAAAUAAUAAUUUUAUUUUAAACUCAUGAAUAUAUUUAUUUGAUUUCACCAUGUGAAUUUGUUCAAUAUUUGUGGUGUUUUCUCUUUUAACAAUAAUUUAUUUAUUAAGUUGUAUAAUAAGGCCAUCCAAUUAAUAGGUCCUAAUUCGAAUUAUACAGUCAUGCUAAUGAAUUGCAAUUUAAAUUUGAAAUUUCUACUCGCCACCUUUAAAACCAACAAUUGAAUUAUUUAUUUUGUAAUUGUUUUAAAAUUUGAAAGUGUCAAUUACUUACUUCUUUUUAUCAUACUUUUUCUUUGAUUAUUUUUUUAUCCAAAUUUAAUUCGAUAUAAACACUCGACAAUGUUGAAAUUAUUUAAUUUCGUCUAAAUAAGUUAAUGGUAGUUGUACGCGUGCUAUUUGUAUUAUUCAAGUGAAAUUAAAUAAACACAUAUAUAGAUUUUUUAAAAAACUAUUCAUACACAUGAUCAAUGAGGGAUGAAAAAAUUCAUUUUGUAAAAUAUGAGAGAUAAAAAAAAUCAUUUUGUGAAAUGCGAGCGAUAAAAAAAUUCAUUUUGUGAAAUAUGAGAGACUAUGGAUCGAAUUGUGUAAAAUUAAUUUGACAAUUUUACCCUUAAAAAUGAUCACGUGCAAGAUACGUGAUGGAUUCCAACCAAAUACUAGUUGAAAAUCUAGGUAGAGACCAAAUUUAAUCAAUAUGAAUUUGUAAAAGACGUAAAAUUAUACUUUAAAAAUAAGGGAUAAAAAUAUUAUUUUAUAAAAUGUGAGGGACGUUUCAAACGAUUUUUCCUUUUCUAAUGCUUAAUGAGGGGAAUAGAAAGUUUAGUUUUGUCUUGAAAGCAUCACAGACCCAGUGGUGGCCGAGCUCAACAACAGACGCCAGAUUUUACUCACCGCCCCCCCUCCCCAAACUUAUAGAUAGCGAGUCCAUGUAGUGGCCCAAUAGCUAAUAACCAAUUAUCGGGAAAUUAUUUUAAGCCGACAAAUUUUUUUUUUCCCUUUUUAUAUUGGGAAAGUGGUGGGAUUUACUUAAGAGGCGGAAAGGAGAAAAAAUGAUCUAAACUCAUAAGUUCUAAUUUCUCGAGUCUUAACUUACCCAAACAAAAUUUUGAAUAAUAAUGAGCAAUGAUUAAUUUAAAGGAUUUUUAAGAAAAUAGCAAGUGUAUUACCAAAUUGCUAAUCUACCUUGUAUAUAAGAAGGAAAUGAGGUUUAGUUCUUUGCCUCCCUUGUUGCCACUUGGCUUUCCAAUAAUUUGACAAAUGGCAUAAAUCUAAUAUUUUUCUUGCAUAUGAUUUUCUUGCCUCUUGCAUAUCCCCCUUUUUUUUUUUUUUGCUUUUUUUUUUCAUGCCAAACUAAGCAAGUUUGACUCCUUUAUUCUCCUUUUGAGCCCAACGAAUUUUUUUAACCUUAAUGAUUUGACUAAGCGAGUCUAUUGUUUAAUUCAUCACCGUUAUAUUAGUUUUAAUACAAUAACACUAUAUUACAACCCUUGGAUUAAUUUUCAUUCGUUCUAAUUGUCUACCUAUUAUAUAAGAGACAUGCGAAUUUAAUGUAGCACUCUCAUUUAUUGACAUGCGAUGUAACUCUCCUUUGAGGAAUCUAUGAAUUUUCUCUCAUAUUUUAUUUCUCUACUUCUAUCUUGAUGGAGUAAGACAAAAGAUAUACCAUACAGGAUAAGACAAAAUAUUUCAAUUGCAAGUCAUGUUGCAUAACUACAAUAACUUCUAGUGUUUUUAUAUAUUGUCUAAUUCAUGACUAUAAGAUCAACCUUUAUAGAUUAAUGAAAAAAAUUUUAAUCCUUGGAUAUUGAUUAAUUAUGUUUGAUCAGUAGCUAACCAACUAUUACAUUUAAACACCUCUUUUAUGUAAUCGAUUAAAGUCUUUUUUUCUAUUUCUUUAUAAAUUGUUUCUCAAUGUUGCAUAGAAAAAAUCAGAUUUCUUCCUUCCCAAUUGUAUUCAACUAUGCACUUGUUCAUUAAUUUCAAGAUUAAUGAUGGAUUUAAUAGAUGCUAUGUUUAUUGUCUCCUUGAUUUAGAAGAGUUGACUUCAUAGAUGGAAUUUCUUAUGAUACUCAAAUUUUCUCGUGUUUUUGUCUAUUAUGUACCAAAAAAUUUUGCUGUUAUAUAUUCAAUUAAGUUAUUAGGGGGCCUAAGCUGUGCCUUGCACAGUCGAGGUACCUCUAGUAUUGCUCAUAUAAAGGGUCUCGUAUUGAUGUUAUUUAGCAUCAUCAAUGGCGACAAUCAUGCAACACUUCUUUACGUAAUCAAGCACUCCCUUGAAGUCUAUGAAAUACGAUCUAGCAAUUCAUGUAAGGUCUUCAUCUCUGACCAAAUUCCUAAUCUAGAUUAUGAACAUGAAAGGUUAUCAACUAAGUUUUUAUUUUUAUAUUUUAAGGAAGGACCUCCUUAGUUAUUACUACUUUUUUUCCCCGGUUGAGAUCUGUAAAUGAAGUUUUUACAACAAUAAUAUUGCCGUUGGAGGUCAAAUAAGUUAGAUUUAUGAAAUUAAGGGUGUGUAUGAUAAAACUGAAAUCUAAAAACUGAAUUAUGAAAUAUGAAAUCUAAAUGCAUUAAGUUAUUGAAUUGUUAAAUAUUAAAUCUAAUACAUGUGAGUGCAUACCACAUUCAGCGAUAAAUGAAUAAUUUAUCACUUAAUUUUAGACGUAAGUUUUGCGUAAAAAAAUUCAGUGUCAUUUAAUUAAUUCAAAUAUUUAAUUUUUUAUUAUCAAACGGUCUAAAUAUGUUAAAAUUCGAAUCCAUUAAAUUAAGAUGUUGUACUGAAUUAUCAAGCAGGGCCUAAUACUAUCAUCAACAAUCACCAAAUAAAAGAUAGAGCAUCCUUUUCUUGCUGAAUGUCAGCUUCGUCUUCCAAGUGGUAAAACCAGCAAAUGUAGGGAAUGGUGUUGGUAUUUAUUUUUAUCUACUGAGUUAAUAUUUUGUAUAUUAUUAAUGGUACAGAUAAAUGGAUCUUGAUGCAUGUUACACAAUUUAGAUUUGAAUUUGAAAUAUUACAUCAUAUGAUAUGCAUCGAGACCCACUAACGCAUCUAUUAACGAUGUAUAAAAAUCAAAUCCCUAUUUAUUUGGCAAUGCAACAAGAGAUAAGGAAUACCCAACUAUGGAAUUCAUUAUCAAAUUCUCAUUUCCUUCCCGUAUUUUUUUCCUAUCAAAUGCAUCAUUCCUACGGUAGUCUCAAUGGGAAUAUCCAUUCCUUUCUUGUCUAAAAUCUUAAUAUAAUGGUUCACUUCCCAUUUUCUCCAUUCUAUUGCAGGUAAUUCCUUUCCAUCCCUCAAUUCUGGAGAAUCUAAAAAAGGAAGUUUGCAAAAAUACGCUACAUAUUGACACCGCACCCUCUGACAUGCACCCGGAACUUAUUAUUAUUAUUAUUUUUUCUUUCUUCUUAUUGACCCGGAAAGAUAGUACUGCCCUCUUGUUUUGUUCUCUAGCUAAGAUUAUGAUAAUCUGUUCAGCCUUGUCUCCAGUUUGGAGCUAGCUUUGAUCUGACGCGUAUGAUAUGCUCAUUGGACCACCAGAAAUAUUAAAAAGAAAAACAAGCUUGUGGGCAAAACCGAGGGACGCGUGGAAAUGCGGCGAUGCGCGGCCAAGGCGAAGCGACAUAAAUAAUCUUUGGAAAAGGAGAUGGACGGAGUAGUGGUCGAACCAGAUAUUUUUAUGCGGAAAAUGUGGACCUUUUUUUUUUUUUUUUUUUUGAAGAAAAUUUGAAUAUUAGAUGACUUGGAUAUAACGUGGAUGGAUAAGUAUCAAUGUCGAGUUUGGUGUUUGUUGGCGUUCCAACUUUCUAUUUAUGUCUUUGCUUCCAGAAAAAAAAAAUUUCUAUUUAUAAUUUUAUGCUUUUUCUUAAUGAAUGUGGACGGAUUUAAACACGCAAUCUAUUAUUUACGCUCAUUCUUUUAAACCAUUUGAUCCAUCCCUACCUGAUUUAUUAUUUCGUGCUCAUAUCUGCUUUGUAUAAUCAUUUCCUUUUUAAAAAUUUUCUACGCAUGCUUGGAUACUCUUAAUUAUGUAUUUAGCAAGAAACUAUAAUUGGUUGCCAUGAAGUCCUUGGGUUGGAUUGAUCGACGCAUACAUAUUUCGGAGUAUGCAAUGGAAAUCAGUGCCCAAAAAUACAGGUCUUGCUUUGAUUAUUCUUCAUUAAACAAUUAUGAUUAGGUUACUUUUUCUAUACAUUAAUAACUUAUAUAUAUUAUAAUUCGAAAGUAUAUCAUAAUUUAAAUUUAAAAAUCAUAUUUUACACGUGCGACACACGCAUUAAAAUUUAUCUAUGCAUAUACUAUCGAUACAUAGAAUAUUAAUUCAAAAAAUUUAAUCUAUCCGUCCUUACCAAUAUCAAAUGUUUCUCGACCAAAACAUUUCACCUCUUUCAAGUUUCAUCCACAUUGCACAAUUUCGUCACAAUACAGUAACGUAGUGAAUGCACACACAUCUACAGCUAAUUUAAAUUUCAAUGCACAAUUAAUAUCCACAAUCAUUUACAACAUCUUACCAUUACAAUUUGUGUCCCUUGAGUACGUUUUAUUACCUUUAGCAACUUGCUUGUCUAAGCACAUGAAAUCAUGCAUCUCUGCCAAUGUGUUAAUGUUGCACUUUUCCACCACAGCAAUGCCGCGCCCGCCGCCGCCACCACCACUUGCAAAAUGUCGCCUGGACGUGACGUGGAUUUAACUUCCUCGGAUAAUUCGGGAAACACCAUAGUACCCACACCAGAUCGAUAGAUUUUUAACCAUCAACCUGAGGCUGAUGUCCACCACAAAGCCUUUAAGGCUUUGGUGGGGUGGGAGGAUUAUUUUUCUCCCACCAAUUUGUUACAAUUGUGAUUUUUUAAAAAAUUCAGACGGGUGCGUGAUCUGUUCCCAUCGAUUUCUUCUUAGAUCCGGUUGGAUCUUUCCGUAAUUAGAUUAGAAUAGAGUAGCAAUAGAAGUAGGGUUGACUAUUGACAGAAAAAAAAAAAAAGAUCGAUAGAUUUUUAGUUUCUCGCCAUGUAACGAUUUAAUAACACGUGCUCGCCCAGCUUCCAUAUCCUUCUCUUUAAAAAAAAAAAUUAUUUUUCAAGGUGUGAAAUUUGGUUACAGUAGCAUUCUUGCAUUUGUUGUAAAUUCCAUUUAUUGUUGCAUAUGACAGUGGACUGGAAAUUAAAGUAUUAGAGUAGAAGAUUUCACUAAAAUUUGUUCCCUCUUUAAGACAAAAGGGUAAAAAAAUUCGUUUAGAUUAGUUGUUUUUUAAGAUAUUUUAAAAAAAUUUUACUGUAGUAAAAUUUUAAUAAUAUAUUUUAAAAAAUAUUUAAAAAUAAAAGAAUUUUAAAAAUAUAUUUCAAGAUAUUUAAAGAAUAGAAAGUUUGGAAACCAAGUCUCAGCUAAAAAUCGCGUCUGCAAUGCAUAUAGAUAUAAUAGAUUUACCUCAAGAAUUAACCUUUUGGGUAGGGAGAAUUGAUUUUGAUCACGACACAUCCAAGAUGAACCCCUUGACGAAACAGACUAGCAAUGAAUAGCCACCCUCAGUUCUUUUCAUCCACAUUCUGGCUGAUGAUUGAAUAGCGUCAAAAACGCUGUCAUAUAACUGAGAAAUUUUUUGAUAGAAUAUAAUAUAUAUGCAUAUGUAUAUUUUGCAACUUGUGAACUCAAAACCGUCUCUCUCCCCUACGGUCCCUUCUUGAUUGAGAGUGUCCUACACAUAAUUCAUGCUUGAACAAUGAGUGAUGGGCAUCUCCUAAUCCUUUUUGUUCAUUCGUAUGAAUACUUCUCCUUUGAUAUUUUCAUGUAGAGACAACUCCGUCAAAGGCAUCUUGUAAACUGUUCCUAGUAAGACCACCGAACUCUCACAAAUUGGUAGUAUUAUAUGCUUUGGAUUCGCCCUUUUGUCCGUUAUGCUUUUCUUCAACUAGAGUACACAGAAUUCAUGCAUCAGCAAGCUCUCUUUUGGUAUAAAGUUGCGAUAUUUGUGUUUACUAUGUUCUCUUUUGAUGGAUUCUCCGCUGCUUGAUAUUUUUCUCUGGUAUGGUAUUACUUUGAUGGGUUGAAGUUGAAAUUUUGAAUUUAGGCAGAAACAGCUGCAAGUGAAACUACCACAUGGGAUUUUGCUUGUUAUUUGAUUGUAAAGGUACAGUGUUUGAGGGGAAAUUUGUUGUAGUUCGAUUGAUAUGGAACCACAACUGGGAUUGAUUGAACAAUCUUUUCAUGUUAGAUACUCAGAUGGGGUUAGAGAAGCACUUGAUGAAUUGGGUGAUAGUUUCCUUAUAACUGAUCCUUCCAUUUCUGGGCACCCAAUUGUGUUUGCUUCAAGUGCUUUUCUGAAAAUAUUUGGUUAUUCUAAAGACCAGGUGAUUGGGAAGAAUGGAAGAAUGUUUCAGGGGCCUAAAACUAAUCGAAGAUCUGUUCUGGAAAUUCGUGAGGCAAUUAGGCAAGAGAAGGCUAUACAGAUUAGUUUGUUGAAUUAUAGGAAAGAUGGGACUCCAUUUUGGAUGUUGUUUCAUAUGUGUCCUGUUUUUGCUAAGGAGGAUGGAAGGGUGGUUCACUUUCUGGGAGUUCAAGUGCCUAUCUUGAGAAAGUCCAGAGUUGUGAGGAAUCCCUCAAAGUUGUGUGAAGAUGGAACUGGAUUUCUUGGGUGCUGUCGGAGAGAGGUGACUUCUGAUUCCGUCAUGGAAGUGGGACGUGGAUUGGCUCUGGAUUACUUAUUGAACUCAGAUGAUAGAGGUUUGUCUCAAAUUCUAAUGUUUCCAGUGCCAUAAUAGCAUAAUAUUGUGCUUUCAUUGCCACUUUCAGUGCUUUAGCUAGUAAAAAUUUGUGUCUUGGGGGGGUGAGGGAGGGCUUUUGUUUGUCAGUUUUGUGGAUUGUUACUCUCCUUUUUGGGAAGAAACAGUGACCCACGUACAAAUGCUGAAUAGUAAGAUGUUACUUUAUCUCACAUUUGGAGGAGUAGGAUUAUUGUAAAUCAGAUUCUCAUUUUUGUUAAACCAUGUGAUGUUUACGUUCCUUGAUUUGUAGAAUUAGAGAUCGAUCAGCCUUGUGAGGCAAGUGAGCUGGAGAAGAGGAAAGCUGCUACUGCUAUUAGCAACAUUCUCUCAGUCCUAGCUCACUAUAGUGAGAGUGAGGUCACUGGUCGAUUGGUGUGUGGAAAAGCAUGCUGCCUAUCUGGAAUGGGUCUUGGUGCCUCCAUUAAUAUAUCAUUUGGUAGAAUCAAACAAAGCUUUGUAUUGUGAGUUGUUUCAAUUUCCAACUAUUUGUAACUGUUGCUGCCCAAUAACUGUAUUCUUUCCCCAGGUUAUUGAUGUUCUGCUUUCCAUUUUUUGGAAACACUUUCUGUUUCCUUGCAGAACUGAUCCACACUUACAUGACAUGCCAAUUGUGUAUGCCAGUGAUGCCUUUCUGAAAUUGACAGGUACCUACCAAAUAUCGGUUAACUUGUUUGUUUGUCUGUCUUAAUCAAGCUCAAUCCAACCCUGACGAACUUCCACUUGGUAGAAAACUUCAAAACGAUGUCUUUAGUCUUCUCAUUUUGUUCUUGUAUCCAUGAUUCAAUAGGUUAUGCACGGCAUGAAGUAUUGGGGCGUAACUGUAGAUUUUUAAGUGGGCUGGACACAGUUUCUGCCACUCAAUUUGAGGUAACUUAUUCUCCAAUUUGGUUUUGUAGUCAAUCUUUGUUUUGACUUUGAGGGCUUCAAAAUUUUAGUAUUCUACAUAAAAGGAAAGCAAAUGAAUGUAACCGCUGGCUAAUUGUUCUUUGUCAGAUAGCAGAAUGCAUUCGAAAUGAGAGACCAUGCACUGUACAUAUCCUUAAUUACAGGUAUUUUUAAUAAUUUACUCAUUCUAAGUUAAAUAAAAGUGAAAGAUCUAGUUGAUUAGCAGCUUACUGAAUUCAUGUUUAUAGCUGAAUCAUCUGUAUUGCCAUUUUGUUAUCAGAAAAGACAAGACUUCAUUUUGGAAUUUUCUUCACAUUUCACCUGUCCGUAAUGCUACAGGAAAGGUAAUUCUUCGGCAUUCAGCAACUGUCUUUUUUUUUUGUCCCCUACUAUCACUGGGUAAACUUGCUGAUUGUCAAUUAAAGAAUGUCUUUUGUAUCACUGAGCUAGUCCUUGGUAAGAAAUUUUGAUGUUAUACAGUCUGGAUAUCUGCAUUGCUUAUGGGAUAUGGAUCUUCCACACGCACCAUAAAUUUGCCUGUAAUACUAAAGCAUCAAGACAUGACCUUUGCACUGAAUAUGACACUUAAAGGAUUACUUCCCCAUCCCACUUUGAUAGUCUUGUUUUCCAUUUUUAUCCAUUCCAAAUUAUAGUCCACUUUCAAAUUGAAGAAUAUGGUUAGCUUUUAACUUCUCUAGAAUGCACUUAUUUAAUGUACUUUGUUAUUAGUGAAUGAAAUCUACCUUAUUCAUUAAUUGCUUUGAUUCAUGCCUUGAAUGAUGCAGUUUUUCAUCAAUAUUGUUGUUGCAAUUAACGAAAAGGUAUAAUGGUUAGUUAUACUAAUAAUAUUAAUGUAAGGGUAUUUUAUGAAAAUAGUAAGCUAGAUUCACCCUUCCAAUAAAGUUGACUAAUUUUUCUUAAACUGUGUGAAGGGGAAAAAAAAAAAAACCAAAACUAUCAAAGUGGGACGGAAGGAGUAUGAUAGUUUUGUUUUUCGUGCAGAUACAAGCAAAUUCUUGGUUUUUUCUCGGUACCAUGAUAAUCCUCCUCAUCUUCUUUGUUUUCUCCUUGGUUUUUCACUUUGUUGUUUCAUUUUACCUAUUGUAUUGUUGCUUUCAGCAUAACUCAGUAAGUAGGUUCUAUAUACUAACAGUUGAUCUAUGACUCAAUGAUAAGUGAUAUUUUCAGUUAAAGGAUAUGAUAAUUGUGAAACUCCAUCAAUUUCUGUCAAUAAAGGAUUUGAAAUAUGAUAAUUGCGAUAGUGACAAUUGAAUUCAGAUUUGAAAUAUGAUAAUUGCGACAGUAAGCCAUUAGAUUCAGUAUGUCGGGAGUUCAAUUACGAAUCUACAAAGCGUAUAUCAUUGCAGAAAUUUUAUUGUUUUUCUAUCCAUACAGCUUCGCUACCAUCAGAUACACCCUCCACCAGUGAUUUAUAUUUCCAUGAAUCUUCUCCUCGUGCUUCCAUGUCAUAUUAUUUUAUUUUAUUUGUUAUUCUUUUUUUCCCAGUCUCAGACUAAUUUCCUCAUUAUUGUUAUAAAGCUUCAUUGGUGUUUAGUUCUUUAAUUUGUAUCUCUGUAGUGCAUAUGGAAUAAGAAAAUACGGUUCAAAUUGGAAGGACCUGAUUGGAUGCAAUGGUAGCAUUAUUACCUGUAUGUUUUAGAUGCAUGUCCUUUAUUGCACAUUGCACAUUUCUUGCUGCUUGAGAUAGCUGAAAUCAUUCUGUAAAGUGUACUCAAGCUUCGUAACUUUUAAUGAAUCUCCUGAUCGAUAACAUUAAGAGAUUUCUUGGACUAAUCAUUUAUAGAUAGUAGCAUCUCAAAUCCUGAAUUUAGCUCAUUUGUGAUGUUCUACUUCUGCAAUAUUCUCGAAAAUUUCGGUGUAUAUUGCAUCUAGUGUAGAUCUUACUAUGGACUCGCGCACGAUGUAUUUUGAAUUUAUUACAAACACUCUCUUACUCCUGUCAUCGCAUGAUCAACAUGGACUCUGUAAGCAUCUAACGUAGCACGUUCCCUCUUGUUGCUUGAUGCCUGCACAGGUAGCAUACUUUGUGGGGGUCCAGAUAAGUAGUAGUUGCAACAGUCAGGGUAAACAAGGGUUGAGUCCUGCGAUGGAGCAUCUUAGCGUUGUGGGCGCUGUCAAAGUGGCGGUUAGAAGCUUGUCAAUAGGUGCCAGCACCUCCUAGCAGCCCCUAGUUUUUUCUGAUUUCAUUUUUUGUUAUCGUGGAUGUUGCUGCCUGAAAAGUCAUCGAUCAAAGCGGUUUCAGGAGAUGUAGAUGUUGGGACACAUGAGAGGUAGAUUGUUGUAUAGUUUGGACUUCAUUGAACUUUGCAUUGUUUCUUAGGCGACUAAUGAUCUGGAACAGUGCCUUCAAAUUUAGUAGCGCGACUCCAGAUGAUAUUGCUUAGAGGUGCUUUGCUUCCCGUGUAAAGUUGUCUUGAUGUACAACUCUUGUACUGAGAUCUGAACUGGUCAUGUAAGAAUUUGACAGCGGUGAGUUUUCAAGAUAUGUGUCACAUUUUUAUCUGAUUGUACUACAUCCCACUGUGAUUCCAGCUAAAUGGAUUGGAAAUUUGGAACGGCAACUGUCUAUAGUCAAGACUCAUUUGGGGCAGUGUUUGUGGGACAACAAAUUUGAUUCAUGUGAGGAAAUGUGUACGUCUUUAGACUGAUUUGAUAAUCUGUCUGGGUGAAACAUGCAAAGCCAGGAAAGUUUACAGCAACCUUUUAGCAGUGUUGAUAAUCUAUAUCUGUGUCGGCCUCUUCACAUACUCGUUCAAAAUAUUGAUUACGAACUUGCGAGCACGACUAAAUUUCCUUCCAAAGAGGCAAAUCCACGAACCAAUGCAGUCCCAUUUCUCCAGCAAUAAAUAUAUUUUUGGGCUAGUCUUGAUUAACACAAUUAAGCCUACUGAUGCCCCUGAAGCUAAUCUUUGUAAAAGAACUUCCUCAUAAUUAGGCAGCAAACUUAAUCGUGACACCCUUAAUCAUAGUGAUAGCAACCCAAGAAAACGAGUUUGUCUUGGAACUUUAACAGUGACUUAAUCCAGCCAUUAUAUACACUCUAACGAGAAACCACCGCUUCUGCUCUAGUAAUCUGCUGUCACCUGUCAAUUACGAGGCUAGCUCCAUCACAUUCUCUAUCCCCAUUUUCCAGUUCUCAGUCCAUUUCCCGGCCAGAGUUUAAAUUCAAUCAUGGAAUCAACGCUCAAUUUUCUUUACCCAAGAGACUAGACUUCCUUUUUCCAAUUCAAGAAAACAAGAAAAAUGGCCUCACAAAAACACCAGUCAUUCAUCUUCUUGAUCAUCAUCAUGCUCGUUUUCCCUUUUCCCACUUAUUCAUCAAUUUCAUCCUCACCAUUUCAAGAAAAUAAUCCACUCCCAUUUUUCAUUCAUCCCUCACUACCUCCUCGGUCUGAAUUUGAACCAGAACUUCCUCAAGCGCCGUCGGAUUCGGCCAAUAUUCCUCCAUCCUCAUCAUCCGGGCCCAUAAACCCAGGUGGUUUAUGGAUUCUUUUACAAAAAAGUAUAGGCAUCUCCGCCAUGCACAUGCAGCUUCUAUACAACAACAAAGUCGUCAUCUUCGACCGGACCGACUUCGGCAGGUCCAAUAUCUCCCUCCCGUUUGGAAGAUGCCGGUUCAGCGUCGACGGCAAACUUCGGAUCGACUGCACUGCUCAUUCAGUCAUUUACGACAUUGUCACUAACACUUUUCGACCCCUCAUGGUCCAAACUGAUGUCUGGUGCUCCUCCGCCGCCGUCAACCCAGAUGGAGUCCUUGUCCAGACAGGCGGCUACCGCGGCGGUGCCGAUAAAAUACGGUUGUUCACCCCAUGCAACAACGAUUUCUGUGAUUGGAUUGAACUCCCACAGAACUUGACCGUUAGAAGAUGGUAUGCCUCCAACCAGAUUCUCCCCGACGGCAGGAUUAUCAUCGUAGGUGGCCGGAGAGCUUUUAGCUAUGAGUUCUUUCCCAAGAACUCGGUGUUUUUCAGCAAUGCUGAGGUUUACUGGCUACAAUUCUUGAAGGAAACGUCCGACCCGAGAGAGGAGAACAAUCUCUACCCGUUCUUGCAUCUACUACCAGACGGAAAUCUCUUUGUUUUCGCCAACCAGCAUUCGGUUAUAUUGGAUUACGUUAAUAACAAGAUUUUAAGAAAAUUUCCCCCGAUUCCUGGCGAAAAAAGGUCUUAUCCGUCAACGGGCUCGUCGGUGUUGUUGCCACUCCGGUUACCCGGAAGUGGUUCGCGAUUGGGGUCGCCGUCGCCGGAGGUGGAGGUGAUGAUCUGCGGUGGAGCUAAUGGCGGUUCGUAUAUUCAAGCUAGGCUGGGUGUGUACGUGGCAGCUUCUAAGAGUUGUGGGCGGUUGAGGGUCACGGAUCCGGAUCCUGAAUGGGAGAUGGAAACAAUGCCUAUGAAUCGGGUCAUGCCCGAUAUGCUGUUGCUACCCACGGGUGAUGUGCUUAUCUUGAACGGCGCAUCAAAAGGAUCGGCCGGGUGGGAAUUAGCGGAUGACCCGGUUUUGCACCCGGUCCUUUACAGACCCAGUGAGAUGGAUCCGCAACAGAGAUUUACUGUGCUCAACCCCACAGUAAACCCAAGGCUCUACCACUCAGCUGCUGUCCUGCUGCCAGACGGAAGAGUUCUAGUAGGUGGAAGUAAUCCUCAUGCGUUGUACAGGUUUACCGGAGUAAAGUACCCCACAGAUUUGACUUUAGAGGCAUUUUUGCCACCUUACUUGGGCCCACAAUACUCCCAAUUGCGGCCUUCAAUUUUGACCUUCGAGGGUCCCACGGAUAAUAUCAUAUCCUACGGUCAGCAGUUCUCCAUCACGUUUACUCUCGGUUUGCACCCUCCCGGUCAAGAUUUCAGAGUUACUAUGAUUGCGCCAUCUUUUACCACGCAUUCUUUUGCAAUGAAUCAACGGCUGGUGAUGUUGGAUGUGGUUGGGUACCAGCAGCUGUCUGCAUUUGCGUUCAAGGUUACCGUGUGUGCACCUCCAACAAGAAAUAUUGCACCCCCAGGAUACUACAUGACGUUUGCUGUUAAUGGGGGCAUACCAUCUACUGGUGUUUGGAUAAGAAUGAAAUGAUUAUCAGAUCAAAUUUUGUUCCUAUGGCUUUUAGUGAAGAGAUUAUUUUGGUGCAGUAAACUCUACUCUUUUUAUUUUUUAUUUUUUAUUUUUUAUUUUCUUCUUAGCAUUAGAUAAGAAAAACUUAGUCAUGUUAUGUAGUGUAACAUAAGCUAGCUGUCUCUUAAAAAAUUAAUUUCCCACUUUCAUAUAGGAGUACUAUCUCAAACUAAGGUCUCGUUUGGAUUGCAUUUUUCAUGAAAAAAUUACUGUAGCGAUUUGAUGUAUGUGAGGGAAAAAGGUACCUUCUCUGUCCCACUUUGAUAGUUUUGGUUCUUUUUUCACACAAUUUAAGAAAAAGUAGUUAAUUUUGUUAAAACAAUCAAUUUAGGUAGCUAUUUUAUUAAAAUAUCCUCACAUUAAUUAAAAUAUAACUUUAUGAGAACUUGAAUUGAUGAUAAAAAAUGAAUAAAUUCUUAUUAAAUGGGGUAAAUUUAUAAUAACAAUAACUUACAUUGAACGAGGGUAUUAGUGGGCGAAAGCAAUCCCACCGGGAGCUAUAAAUUUGAGGGGGUAAAAUAUCCUAAACUACAUAAAGCGCCGAAGGUGCUGCUACAGUCAACUUGGUUUCAAUGCAAUUCUGUUGGUGAUUUCGUCCUUUUUUGUCUUUUCACAGGUUCCAUGCAGCCCCUUUGGCUGCUGGUGGGCUUUUCCUCAUUUCUGCUUUUGUUCCCUUCUUCCGAUUGUGCCCUUUUCUCCUGGUUCCUUUGUAAUUUUGUGGCCAAUUUUGUCCUUUUGUUUCUACUGCAUCUUCCACUGCUGCAAUUGUGUUUGCAAUCGAUUUUGUCCUUUGUUAUCUGACUUUAUUAACAAAAAUAUUAAUUUAUCGAUUUCAUUUAUUAACUUCCUUCAACAAAAAUAUAAUUCUCACAAAUAUAAUUCUCACAAAAAUAUAAUUAACUUCCUUUCAAAAUAUAAUUCUCACAAAAAUCUCAAUUUCCUAACUUUGUAUUAACGUGUCUUUCUUUAAAAUAUAAUUCCCUCUGCUCUUUUACAUUUAUUAACUUUCUCCAAAAUAUAUAUUUAUUAACAAAGAUAUUAAUUUUCUAAAAAAUAUGCGAAUCGAUAAAAAUUCUGUGUGCAUCUAAUAUAUACAGAACAAUACAAAUUCUAUGUGUUACGUUAUGCUACUUCAUAUUAACAGAUAAUGAGUGUUAUUCAAGUCAGCAAAUUGUAAUUUAAAUUUCCCUUACGCAUAAGUCCAUGUGCUAUUCGUUCAUUUAAAGUAAGAUAUUGAUUAAUCAAUAAAUAAAUUACUUCAUCAUUAAAUAGAUAUUUAUUCAUGUAUGCUAUUCAAUCAAGCAUUAUUAAUUUUCGAUAUCAAUGAAGUAACGGACUCUUCGAAAUUGUGUUAUCUUUAGAUUUUGGAAUCUUAUUAAUUUUCAAAAAAUUAAUGCAAGUAUUAAAUUUUGUCUGCAUCUAAUAAAUAUAAAUCAAUUGUGCCGCUUUGUAUUUGCUUGCAUUAAUACGACUAAUUGUUUUUAAAAAUACAGGAUAAUUUCCCUCUAUUUCAAAAAUGUUACUUCGAUAAUAUUUCAAAAUUUUCAAAAUUCAAAUAUAUACCUUUGAAAAUCAAAAUAAAAAAGACAAACUUUUCUCUAAAACUAUAACAAAGAUAACCAAACUACCAAAAAUUUAUAGACAAAUACUUAAAACCGCACCCCUAUAUAUAUAGCAAAAAUAUACAUGAUGCAACUCAAAAAAACAUUAUCAUAUUGACACAUGAAUCACAAGACAAAUAGGAACACCACAAAUAUAACAAACAAACAAAAACUAGAAAAGAUAGACACGCUAAAACAAUAUUAAACAAUCGUACAAACUCAAAUAAAAUAUUAAAUAUACAUACACACACGUAUAUAUACAUAUAUAAAGAAAUAAAUAAUAAAAAUAUAACAAACAAACAAAACCACAAAAAAAUUAAACCAUCAUAUCUCCUAAAUAAAAUAUUAAACACACAUGCGCAUAUAUAUACAUAUAUAUAUAUAUAUGCACACAUAUUACAAAAUAUAUCGUAUACCUAUAUAUAUAUUAAUACAAAAUUCACUACAACUUUGAGUACCAUAAAAUAAGUCGCAUAAACAUCAAACAAUAAAUAUUUAAAAAUUCUACUAUAAAUUACAAUGAUUAAACUCUAUAAUUUUCAUGUGCAAUCAUUUCUAUUUCUUAUAAAAAAAAAAAUUAUACACGUCACCUUACUUUCAAUAAUAUCCAUUUAUUACUAAACUAUUAAUAUAAAAUCUCUUUGCUCUCAAAAUUUAUAUUAUCCUUUAACUAUUCGGAUUCUAUUAAUUAAAAAAAUACAGCUUCCAUAUAUUUCAAUCACAUUCAUUCAUAACUAAAUCAAUAUCAUCUUUACUUAUCGAAAAAACCUACUUAAUGAAUAAACACAUAUUUUACCAAGAUAUAGUAUCAAAUUAUUCCAAAUUAUUAAUUUAUCUCAUCACACAACACCCAAACUAUAUCAAAUUUGGCCAAAAAAAAUAUCUAUUAUCCAUUUAUUUUUUAACAAACUUCCUAUUCUUUUAUAUCCUUUUUCAUAGACUUUUCCACUGCAACAAUGCACACUUUCUCAUCCUCGCUAUCCAAAUUAUGAAAAUAUCAUCAUCCUAAAAUACAUAAACUACCUAUGCCCAAAGUACAAUAAAUUAUAACACUCUCAAUGUAAUUCUCCACCUAAUUUUUCAUCCUAUGAACUUUAAAAAAUUAAUAUAUAUUCCAUUAAUUUAAAUAAUAUUUACUUAUCACUAAAUUAAAAUUAAAAAACAAAAUUUUUUGAAACCAAUAUUAUCCAUCAAAUCUUUAGAUCAUAUUAAUGUUAAAAAACACAAUACAAAUCACAUCAAUUUUACUAUAUCUAUUUAUAAAUAAAUCAAUCCAAUAUAUCACUUCACUAUCCACUAUUUCAACUCUAUUAUCAUAUAAAAUACUAUAAAUUUAUGUUAUUAAAUAAAUCUUACAUUAGCCUAAGACAGUUAAUAAUGGGCACCCGCGGAACCGCGGGGCACCAAGCCUAGUCCAACUAAUACGAGCCUGGAAGCCUUUUCCCCGCAUUACUUGGACCCACAGUUUGAUGAUGUACGGCCUUCAAUUUCUUCCAUUGAGGGGGCCCCAGGAAAUGUGAAUGUGAUAUCCUACGGCCAGCAGUUGUCUGUGAAGCUUGAUCUGAAGCAUUUGAAUCCUGGUCGAGGGUUUGACGUAACCUUGAUUGCACCAUCAUUUACAACACACUCCUUUGCGAUGAAUCAACGGCUGUUGGUGUUGGACUGUGCUAGUGUAGAGGAGAUUUCAAAUGGGGUGUACAAUAUGACGGUGUAUGCGCCACCAACCAAAAACAUUGCGCCCCCGGGCUAUUAUAUGAUGUUUGUGGUCCAUGAUGGUAUUCCAUCUCCUGGAGCCUGGGCCAAAUUGGAAUAGUAAUUGAUUUUGUUGUCCGCGUGUCAUGCAUCUUUUGUGGUUGGAAAGUGUAAUUGUGGAGAGCAGCUUUGCAAUGGAAGAAGAUAAUUGGAAAAUUUUUCAAGCAUUUUUGUCAUUUUAAUGUUUUGUCCGUGUUGAUUUUAAUGUUUAAACUCAUUAAUUAUUGUUUCUAUCAUAGAAGUAAUAUUAUAAUAAUAGGAUGGAAGCACACAGCCAAAAAAGAUAAGCUAUCAUUCAAGCUUUUGACCAAUUCAAAAUUGGAAAUGACUAUGGUUUGUCUGUAUUCAUAAUAUUGAUUAUCUAAUUGAUCCAUCUUGUACCAAUUGUGGUUGGAGAAUUUAAUUUGGUGGAAAUUAAAAUUUCAACCAAAGGAAAAAGCGGAAUUAAAUCAUAGCAGCUAAAACACAUCAUUAAAAGUAAAAACAGCUUCCAUUAAAGCUCUUAACCAAUAAUUCAAAUCGGACAAUUAUAUGCGUUUGCCAUCAGAAGGAGACAAAGACGCAUUGAUUAUAAAAUCUACGUCUGUUUAGAUUUCGUUGUAGUUGGAGAAUAUAUAUAAAUUUGGUGGAGGACAGCAAUUUUGGAAGGACGGAAAAUUCAUUCAAGCGUUACAGUUUCUUUGCGUGUCAUUUUUAAAGAUGUUAUGAAAAUACUAGAAGCCAAUGAAUAAAUAAAUGAUAAGGGUCUUAAGAAAGCUUUAAUCCAUUUCACGCGGGGCAAGCCAAAAAAAUUUUUUUUUUUUUUGUGAUGGAAAAAGAUGACAAGAAAAAAUUGGUUUAGUGUUUGACAUAUUAGACCUCAUGAAGUGAAACACUACUGAUAGUCUCUAAGGAAGUACUACAAGAUUAAGUAAGAGCAAAUAUUGAGAAUUAUUUUGAAUUAUUAUGGAAUAAAAUUCAAAAUUUAUUUCUAUAUCGAUCAUUUCUUCUAUUUUUAAAUUUAUUGAAUCUAUUCUUGAUUUUAGAGCAAAGAAUAAGCAUACAAACUAAAUGUUUUGUCUUUGCUUUACAUUUAACUCAUUAGAUUUGGUAAUAGAUUCAUUCACAUAGUAUCUUGAACAACUGAAAAUAAAAACGUUAUUAUUACCAAAUUACUUUAAAAAAAAAUCUUUUUUGAUUCAAAUAAGUUUAAAAACAAAAGAAUAAAGAGCUGAAAGUAAGAAAUUAUCAAUCAUUCAUCUAAUGAUAGCAAAGGUAGAAUUUGUGGGGAAAAAAAAUGCGCUUGCAUAAUUUGCCAGAAAAGCGCCAAACAAAGCAAGAACAAAGGUAAGAGUAAGAACACAUGGAGAUGCGGGGUAUCGAUCCCCGUACCUCUCGCAUGCUAAGCGAGCGCUCUACCAUCUGAGCUACAUCCCCAUGUUGAGGUUUUUUUUUUAUCCAUAAUAAAACGAGUUCUGCGAGCCACGUGACAAGCUGAUUAGCAUAUUAGGACAAAGUUGCUUGUAGUAAAAAUACUCCUAAUGCAUAGCGUGAAAUGCACAAAAAAUGCCAACUAUCACUUACAUUGCAUAAGUUCUGAGAUUGUGUAAGUUUCCAAGUAGUAAAUAGAUAAACGAAAAAGUUUAUCUGACUUUGGCAAAAAUUAUCUUAAAAUUUUUAAGAGUUUAAAAAAUGUUUCAAAAAAUAAGGCAAUUACAGACUAUUGUAUAUCUAUUUGUCACUAUUUGGAUACUCAUUUUGGAAAAAGGUUUCUUUAAUGAAAAUAAUAAUAAAUUAAUUUUUCACUCAUUUUUUUAAUUUGUAAUAUUUUUAAAUAAUAGGUACUCAUAGAUGAUGUAUGAAAUGUAGUGGUUACAAUAAUUUAUAAGAAUAGGUACUCAUAAGAGAUGUAACAAGCCAAAAUUUGCCCUUAGUGGAGACUCCUAGCUCCACCAUUCAUGCUCUUCAAUCUUAACUAUCAGUGGUUACAUUCUAUUUUAUUUAAAAUUUUUUUGAAAGCAAUACUAUAAAAAAAAUACUUAUUAACAUAUUACAAAUUCCUGAUUCCUUCCUUUCAUGAUCUUCAAGACACAUUCUUUUCUUUUUGCACAACCUUCAACAGAAUGUACUUUUCAUUUCAACAUUGACAAGUACAUUUAUGAAGUCCCCUUUUUUUUUUUUUUUUAUCACUAGUAUACUUACAAAUAUAUAUAAAAUCUUUAUAAAUAUAAUUAUAAAUUUCUGAUUUCCCUUUCUUCUUUCAUGAUCUUUAAUAGACUAUCUCUUCUCCAAUGAUCCAACUUUUCAGAAUUCUGCAGAAAAGUACUCUUCGUGGAUGCUAUUGAUAAUAUGUUAAAAUUUUGAAUUUUUCAAAAAAUUUUCAAUCUUAUGGAGAAAUACUAACAAUAUUAUAUCACAAAUAUAUCAUAUAACAGUUCUUCUUUUAUGAUUUCAAGAAAACUGCCUGUUCUUCAACAAAUCAAGAAUUCCUCAAACCAAACGAUACGGAUGAAUUUUAAAUGUUUCGUCAAAUUCCUCAAACCAAACGAAACAUGUAAUGUAGUAUAAAUAUAUCGUGCAGCAAUGGCUAAUCAAAAUUAGGACACUGUUGUGAUCGAUCAGCAGUCAGAGAUAGCCUUCUACUAGUACUGAACCUGAAGUCCAAUCUCCUCAAAAUUUCAAGAAAUGGUGGCCACAUCGCUAAAUUAAAACAAUGAUUUUAAUGAGAGUGCCUCAGACGGCAUAGCGGACAAUGCUCUGACCUUGCAAUGAACGCCGUAAUUGUAGAUACAUCAAAGGUCACUUCAAAAAAUAUCGUGGAUGGUGGUAUCAGGAAGACGAUAACCUGGUUGCAGCCUGGGUUGUGCAGGAAGGCUUUGGUAUUUAGAUGCAGAGACAAAUUGCAAAAUUAUCUCAAUUUUCAAAUAUAUAGUAAUACUAUUCCUCUUGCUGACUCUACGAUGUGAACAACCAAAUGCAGCAAAUCAUUGGACAUAUUUACAGCCACCGGACUGUCUUCCUAUACUCUUAACCUUAAUUCUCACAGUAAACUAUAUAUGACUUAAAAUUUGGGAGUUCACUUUUUACAUUUCAGGAUUGCCCAUUAGUUUUCACGAUUGCCCAUUAGUUAGGGGCCCUACCUGAUCUAUAUUUGUAUCGCAUUGCCCAAAAUAGAUAGUGCAAGAAAUUCAGACCACUUAGGACACACAUCACCCAGUAAAAUCUGUCCAAGUGAUAGUGAUUCAAGUUGCUCCCUGACAGCCACGGCUUGUGAUUGGAGUUUCCUGUGGCACUGUUAACAAUUGAGACAAUCACAGUGCUGAGAUAGUAUCCCAUUGCCAGUGAAGCCCAGGAAAGAGAGGUAGCCAGAGAUCUCAUGCUACUCGGAGCUUCUGUGAAGAAAAAUUCCAAUAAUCCUGCUAAUGUGAAAAGAUCAGCUGAUCCCAGGAACAAGUAUUGGAAAGCAAUCCAGAAAAAUGUGAGGGGCAAUGGCGUGGUGGUGUCAAGUAAUCCAGUAUCCAUAGCUACUCUCUUCCGCUUGAUUUCAACUAUAGCUGCCACUGCCAUUGCUAGAAUGGAUAGGACUAAUCCAAUGCCAAUGCGUUGAAGAUGACUGAUUCCCAUCUCUGUUUUUGUGGCUCUACGAGCAAAGGGGAUGAUGCAAUGGUCGUAUACUGGUGCUAGGAACAUCAUGAAGAUUACAGGGAAAAUUGGAAGAGAUGCCGGAGGGACUUUUAAGGAGCCAAGUUUAGUGUUCAUGGUUGCAGCUUGUUGAACUGAGAACGUGGACAGUUGGGCAAGGCAGCAGUUCAGAAUUAUGGUACAAGCAAAGAUGGGGAGGAUUUUAAUCACAACCUUGACUUCUUCCACUUGUUGCACUGAGCAGUCUAGUGCACCAGCAGUCGAGUUGUCUCCCACUGCUCUGUUGAGGAACUGGAGACUUUUUGAUGGAGUCUCCUGGGUUGGUUCAACUGUUUUACUCUUUAUAUUUCCACCUUCUUCCUCAGAUGCUGGAGUUGGAGUAGGACUUGUUGCCAUGCUAGCUAUAGCAUUGUUUGAGCCCCUUGAUUUGAAUGAAUUCAGCAGUGCGGCGAGCAAAACCUGUUCAUUCAAGCAAUGUGUUUAUUAGGAAAAUGUAGUUGACCUGCACGUGAGGUCGUAGUAGUUUUGAACCACAAUCUUUUUUUUUUUUUUUUUCAUUUUCUUCUUUUUCCAAAAUUAGAAGUUCGAACCAGUUGAAUCCAUGAGGAUUCCAGAUUUAUGUGGCAUCAGAGUUAAAGUGAAUAAACUAGUAGUAUUAAGCUGACUAUUUGGGCAGCGUUUUAAGGUUCAAACGCUAGCAUUGCUCUUAAACUGACCUUGACUAUUGUGGUAAGCGGACUUCCAUUUGGUAUCUUGUUUCUGUAAUAAGUCGAUCCCAGGAGGAAAAUUGGAAUUGACAACAAUAUUGCAAAAGUGGAGAUCCCAAAUCCCCAUUGCCACCCCUUAUUGUCCUCAACCCACACCACAAGGGUCACGGCAAUCAAAGCUCCACACGAGAGGCAAAACACGAAGUAAUUGAAGAAUGUGGAUCUUUGCUUCCUGCCCUUAGGGCUGUCCUCGUCAAACUGCUCCGCCCCAUGUGCCGGUAGCGACCCUUUGAUGCCUCCAACCCCCAAUGCCACCAGAUAUAGGCCGAUGAAUAACAUAGCAGCUUUUGCACCAUGAACUUUUUGGCAUGGAAUGCUAGGGGUUGCAGGGUCACAUUUUGGUGGCUUUAGAGAUGGCGAGUGAGCUUGCACCGUCAGUAUCACCAAGCCCUGAUACAACAGUCAAAUAAAUGGUGAGGCCAGGAAGAUGAUCGUACGUAAACAUCUGAUCACCGGGAAUUCAAAGAGAUGAUAUGUAUAUUUCCUAGUAUCAAAUUUACGCUAGUUCAAUUCCUGAGCCCGGGGUUCAUUUUGCUUCCUAUGUUGACAGUUGUUAUGGGACAGGACAUGCAACUUUUGAAGGCUCAGAAUUCGGGCUGACCUGCUCGUAUGAUUGGCUCCUCUGACCUAAACUAGUAGUGCGUCCUAGGUUUCGCAUCGUAAGCCCGUGUUGAGGGGUUCUUUCCACAAUCUUCACAGACGAAGGGUGCAAUAAUUAUAAAAGCUUCCCAACCUCUCACGGGAAAGGGAACUCAAGAUGUACUUUUAGCUCCAUGCAGUUUACCCUUUAAUUUGGGUACAAUUACAUAUUCCCCCCAACUUCAGGUGUUUACAUGUAGAAAGCGACGCAUCAAACGAGCAAAUACGACUUGGUUUUGGCGGUGGUCGAACCAAAAUUUCUCCAAGGGUAGGGUAACAUCAAACCGACUAGACACAAACCGUGGCGAGAGGUGUCCCGUUUGAUAAUCCAAUUCUAAUAAUAUUUAAAUUUAAUAAAUUUAGCAUAUUCAGACGAGUUUGAUAACAAAAAAAAAAAAAUUUAAAUAUUUAAAUUAAGUAAUCGAUACUGAACUUUCUAGAUAAAAUUAACUCCUAAAAGUGAGUGAUAAGUGAUACACUAAAAUAUAGUACCAAAUUUAACAAUUCAGCGAGUUUUACCGAGCACCCUUAAUAUUAAGUAUGACUCUAUGGGACGGAGUGUCCGGGGGCUCACGUGCAUGAUGCAACUAGACCAGGAGGAUUUUCGUUUUCUGUAGCUGGGGUCCGGUCCAUUCGAUGAUGGGGGCGUUUCACCGAGUGGUCAUCAACUCAAACAGCUGUCACCUUUCGCAUGAUAUCAUGUGGCCUUGCUUAUCAGAAAGUCACAAUAAUAAUAAUAAUACUCCAUAGGAAGAGAAGAAGGAAAAAAGAGAAUCCUGUGGCCUUUCUCUGAGGCCAAGUUAUUCCAUUGGACUAGCGCUCCGAAUAAGGAUAAUUAACCCUGACAUGUCACCGUAAUGGUGUUGCCUCUCAGAAAUGGAAUGUUAUGUGGCUCUGUCCUAAUGGCAGUGUAACCGAGGCAUGGGGUGUACCACUCAAAACAACACACCUGUUUCGCCAUCCUCCAGCCUACGGGUGCAUGUUGAGAGUAUCUUACCGCAAUGGCUGGCUAAUCUUCUAAUCUCAGCGUAUGGAACCGAGCAUUUAGAUACGCGAUAGACACUGUUCAGCAAGCAUGAUAAAUUCUUUGAAUUAGCUGACCUGGAUUAUUUGUCUUUGCUUAUAACAGACCCGCAGACGAUCAGCCACUCUACAUCUUUUGAUGACAAGAGAUUUUCGACAAAAACAACUGACACAUCAUCACCAUGCAUAUAUAUAUAUAUAUAUAUAUAUAUAUGUGGUGGUUUUGCAGCCCACUUGAUGCUGCUUCAUCCAAUCAGAGAUAUGUCGGACCAACAAGAUUCCAAUCCAUCUUGUACAUUUGGAUGGUCGCAGAACACUCCUCUAAUUACUUGGAAGAACAAUUCAAUUGGGCAUGUCGUGCGAUUCAAUUGGUAGAAUUGUAAGAUUUGGAACGCCGCGCCCAAUGUAUGAUCGCCGAAAGAAAAACAUGAAUCGCUCGCUGGCCAUCGUGGCGAAUUUAUCUUAAAGAAGAAAGAAGACAAGAUGGUUGAUUGAAAUGAUUGCAUGAGGGGAGUUGUCUUCACGGAAUAAGAAACUGGAAAAGGGACAGCCCGACAAAACAAAAUAGGGCAAAAAUUUUAUGUGACGCUGAGGCUAAGAAAGCGUGCAUGCGGUAGAAUGGGGAGGGGCCGCAGCUGGCUUCGGUGGUAAGACGUUAUUGGUGACAAAAAUACUAACGCCACAAAACAAAAAUGGGUAUGUUAUGUAUACGCUGCCUUUUCAGCGGAAAUUACGAUAAUGAAGUUUGCUUUCGUCCUUCCUGGCAUGACGCACCCUGAAUUUUACACAAGAAUAGGAACAUACCAUGCAAUGCAUGAAUUGGAAUCACAAUGCAUGUCUUUUACGUAUUUAAAGAAAUCCUCAAAGUUAAAUUUCACGUAAUUAUUAUUCAUUCAACGUUUGUUUAUCUAUCGCGUAUAUAUAAUUAGUAUAAAAAAAUUAAUUUUUAUGUAUAUAUAAAUAUUGAUAAGUGAAAAUUUUUGAAUUCAACCCUUUUAUUUAUAAUAUAAUUUCUUUUAUCUUAUCAUUUAAUCUAAUUCUCUCCAGAGCACUUAUGGAUUUUAAUCCUUUAAAAAUGAUAAUUUUUUUUUUAAAAAAAAAUUUUGCCAUCUCAAAGAGAUAGAUGAUCGAGACAUGCAUGAUUAGGAUUCUAAAGGUAUUUUUAUUUUUAUUGGCUAUCGAACUUGGAAAUUAUUAUGUCAACUUCCACACAGACCCAAAAGGAGGGGAGGACGAAAAGGACCCUUUUACAAAAAGGGUGUAAUUGUUGCCCAUCAAGGUGAAGACACGUGAAAUACCGUCUAUCAAGCUUGACUUUUGAACUGGCUGUGAACUCGAUGACCCAUUUUUUUUUUUUCUUUUUUCUUUCUAUUUUCUCAUAAAUUCACUUCCUAUCAAGUGCAGUAGUUGACUUUGAAUUUCCCGUCCCCAGGAUCCUGCUCAGAAAGAUUAAAAUGAAAAUCCUAAGCUUGAAGUGUUAUUGGCCUGAACCAAAUCUGAUAAAUCUUAGGAUUUCCACUGUGGCAUGGCAUUUGUCACAUUUUAGUUCUUGUCCCUUUGGCUGAGGGGGCCGGAAAGUUGAGUCAUCAUGCUAUAGCUAGCAGAAAUUUGGUUUUCUUUAAAGCUAAGUGGCUGGAGUCAUUGACAACUUGCAAGGUGGAAUAUGUUGAACUUGAGAGCAAUUGAAGACUAGUGAAUCUAUGUAACUAUUAUGUGUGGAGCCAAGAAAUUACAGCAGACCAAUCACUCCUUGUUUUUUUUUUUUUUUUCCUUCUUCUUCUUUUAAAUAAAUUAAAGCAGCCUGUUGUUGGUCGAUAAAGAAGGAAGAACUUAUUCAAGAAAAAAAAAAAAGGAUGGUGGUUGAUUACCAGGAAUUCAAUGAGGGCACCUAUGAGAUAGAUGAAAUAAGUGGUGAAGAAGGCAUCGGACAAGAACCCUCCAACAAGGGCAAGCAGGAAAGCGGUGCCCAUGAAAUUUGUCACAGAAUUCGCUGAAUUUGAUGGUGAGAAGUGCAUGUAUUCCGAGAAAUACAGUACCAAGUUGCUUGCAUUCGCCAGAUAUGCUAAAUUCUCCAACACCUCAGCCACUAUACAAAAAAGGAAAAAAAGUUGUCCAUAAUAAUCAACACAAAAAGCAUUAAUAUGUUGUACUCAAACAAGAAUUCAUACUCGCACAGCAUGCACAAUGGUAAACCAAAGUACGCCUGCAGAUAAAAAAAAAAAGUAGUAUGGCACUAUAUGAAUAAAUAAAUGAGGUAAUGGAACUACGAUUUAAUCAAAGUCCCAUCAUAGAGAGUCCGUCCCUUUUCCGACCACAAUACAAUAGUGGCAGUGCAUUUAUAGGUUUGUAUUCACCGAGGCAAGGAAAAUUAGGACACAUGCAAGAACAGGUAUCGGUGCUUGGAAGAUUUUUCCUUACCUAAGACGAAGGAUGCAGCUACCAUGCCACCAUGGCGGCCUUUGAGUGCGGGCCUGUUUCUCCAACUUACAUACCCUUCCCAUGAGCCCGGCUGCUGGUUUUCCACUUCCUGCAGAAAACUCCACGAGAUAAGCACGUCGCUUUUUUUCUUUCCCAAAGGUUCAAAGCGAAGGGAGGAGGAGGAUGAAGAACAACUAACCAUUUCUUUUUUCUCUGCUGCAGAGGAAAAUUGAAGCCAAGAAAGGAAGAGGGGGACUGGGUGAAGAGGAGGAGGAGGGAAGGGGGGGAUCAAACGUGAGAAAUUUGAAGAGUUGAGAGACAAGAAAGGGUCCAACUUAGAGAGAACCGUCUAGAGUUCAGACCCUUUAGUAGAAAAAGCCUCUAACCCCUUAAAGCUCCUUUUAUACUAGUCUGAUCACAAAUCUUUAACAACUCUAGCGUUGUUUUAUUUUGGUCAUGUGUUAUUAAUCUUUGUUUAGGCACUCAAGUAUCCACUUUUAAGGGAGAACACAGAAUACACUGUAGAUAACAGAGACAGAUAAUGAAGGUGUGAACUGGGAUUCCCUUGGGUUAUAAGGAAAUGUAUAUAUCUAUGUCCUGAAUAGAAGGGAGAAGAGAAAAAAAAUAUUAAGCAAAACAUGAAUCUCCUCCUACCAUUUUUUUUUUUUUUUUUUGCCUCUUUGGUAAGUAAUCUCCUCCUGCCAUACCCGCUGAGACAUAAGUAUUGUUAUGAGUUGUUUGACCAGGCAGGAAGCAGAACAAUAAAUGAUAACGCUUGAUAGCGCAACAACCCAUCAACGCCAUUAUGGUAAAUGUAACUCACAAGACAUAACAGCUUUUUAAUUCGUUUGCCGAUAUUAUUGAAUUUUACUCCUCCUUUGUGGAGUUACCCUGAAAUGUGGAUACAAACGAAGAAUUGGAUUCUUUAAGCCUCCACACACGCGCAGCAAACCUGCAACAUGAUCCCCUCCUUUAAGUUGGUCAUGACUUAUCACAUGGGAAUCCAUGGGGUAGUUGAUAGAUAAAGAUUGAACUCUUUUCAUCAAUGGUCAAUAUUGUCUAUCUAACUCCCUAAUCUACGACCCUCCAAAGAAAGAAAGAAAAAAAUCCCUAGUCUUGCAUUCUAGCCGUCUGAUUAAGAACUCAAUUUUAGCUCAUUAUUUUGGUUUCACUUUCUUUUUUUCUUAAAUUCUUUUUCUGCAUUGAACGACGGAGACUAAUAUCCAUAAUCGAUAAGGGGGUAUUAAUUUUCUCAUUAAGGAUUGGCUGUUGAUACUUGCGUUUGAGGUGAGAGAUGUGGGGGGGGGGGGGAGGAAUAAAAGGGGCUCAUUAAAAAAUAAAAUCAUGUUUCUUUUUUGGUCAAAGACCACAAAGGAAUCCAAAUUGCAUGUUAAAAAAAAAAAAAAAGUAGGUUAACUUGAUUUGUACAAACCGGACAUUAUCGGUGUUCAAAAAGGAACGGUCAUGGAGGACCAAAAGUCACGUCCAUUUGGCUUUUAAAGAGAGCAUACCAACUAACCAAACCUCCUCCACUUACCUCUGCCAGUGCCGAAACUCACCUACGCAUUUAAUUUUUAGUCUUCAAUUUAGCUUCAAAACUCAAGAGUUAAAUAGCAAGAAACACAAAGUCAGACUUCUUUCCCACAAGGCUGUAGUCCGCGUAUAGUUGCUAACACAACUGUUGGAUCCUGUUUGGCACGACAUUGCAGAUAUUCUAAUAUUUCUAUUCUGACAAGAUUAUUGUUUGUCCAUCUUAAGAUGGAGGAUCGAUUCAGUGGCGGGAGAAUUUUAACUACUACCCGUUGAUGUGGAUAUGUGAAUGCAAAUUGUUAGUUGUCGGGAGAAGAAAUUAGGGCCUUGUUGGGCACACAAGUUUUUUGCUAAGUUUGUUGCUAUAAGUUUUUUAAAAACUUUAAUAGUUAAAGUAACCUCAAAAAACUUCUCAAAGUUUUUAAACUAUACACUUCAAAAUAUUCAAAAAAACAAAAUGCGUUUCAAAUUUUUUUUUUUAAAAACCUCUACAAUAAGUUACAAUAAAGUUUUAGGCAAACACCAAAAAAAUUCACUUGUCAAACGGGGCCUAGAUUAUUUUUACCAAUUAUCGAUUAACUGAAAUAAAUUUUUAAUCAGUGGAGGGUUGGUGAUGCAUCAGCAAAUGUGGUAACAAAUUAUUUGUCAAAAGAUUUUUACGGAAAUAAUCUUUCUUUUUUAAGUGUCGUUUAGUUUUGGGAAACCUCAUAAAUUUUAAUGCACGAAGGAAGAUUAGUUUCUUAUUUAAUUCACAGUAUGGAUAGUACUUCAUAGGGGUGGGUACAAAUCAGGUAUCCACUCCGUUGAGCAUUUGGAUGAUCCGAUCAUGUCAGGCCAACAAUUUUACAAAUGAAACUUGUAAACAAAUAGUCUCUCAUAUUUUCAAAGAGCAUUUGCGCGAUGAAAUUACUUGAUUAACUCUAAAAAUAUUAUUUUAUAGCAUAUAUAUAUAUAUAAUGAAUUUUUUUUAAUAUAUAUAUAUAUAUAUGCGUCGCGAAUCGGGUACCUUGGAGUUCUUAAUCUCAUGGCCCUGAUCCAUCCUACAUAUAAGCAGGUGAUUGAUCCUCUUUUGUCCCAAUCAAAUAAUGCAGAUCAUGUAUCUUAUUUUUCGGAUUGGAUCGAAUCAGAUAUUAUGGGUAUUUUUGCCCACUCCUAGGACCAUUUCACUAAAUAAGUACCUAUCAUGCGUCAGCUCCAAUGAUGUACAUCGAGUAGUUCCUUACGUUAUGUCUACAAUUUGAAUAAGAUACCAAGGUUUUAACCUAGAAAAUCACUCUUUGAAAAAGCUUAACAAAAAUAAUAAAGGAUUUGCUAAUUAAAUGGUGUAGUUCCAAAAUGAUAUAUUUCACUUCGUUCACCUCAUGCCUGGUGAAUUAAUAUGUGAACUGUUACAUCAGUGCAUAUUUCAUGAAAAAAUAAAAUAAAAUUGACUGCUUUAGUUUCACAAAAAUUGAGAUUUCGUGCAUUAUGCUCCCUGGAUUUCUAGGAGUAUCAAUCCAGCAAAUUUAAUUGGCAAGAAAUACUGCCUUUUCAUCUUUGAACCAACAAUGCCGGGGAAUAAAAGGAAGGGUUUGCUCAUCUUAAAACAUGCUCUUCCAAAGGGGUCCCGACUAUGAUUUAUAUAGUUUUUUUUUUUAAAAAAAAAAAAUGCAGCAGAACUUGAUUCCUGAUGUAUAUAUUAACUCACAAAAAGGAAAAAAAAAUGAAGAAAGGAACUGGAAGUACCAGUUUGUUGGGUAACCACCCGCCACAUAAUUCAUAUAUUUGACAAAGGGUUGAUAGUAGUGGAGUGAAAAUAGCAAAAUUCAUAAGCAGUACCAGUAUUUUCCAUCCAGACAACCUCUCGAUGACUAGUAAUUUUCAUUUGUUGCAGCUGCCACAACGUGAGGUAACCCAAAUUUGUGUUGUGUUGUCGAGGCAGGCCUAUUCUUCCUAAAAGGACAAACAGAUGAAUUGAAGGGUCAUAUGGAUAUGCUCCCUCAAGUUUGAAUUCGACGAAGAAAUCAAAUUUAACAAUGUCAAGAAAAUGACGUUCAAUUGGCAUUCAGAACCUGCGAAGGUGAUGCGUUGUCUUAGCACAUUUUCACUUUGUGAUUUCUACCAAAAAGAAAAGAGGGUGAAAUAAGUAUGUGAAUAUGGUUUCAAAGAAAAGUAGAACAGAUCAUCCACUGGAGAAACAUUGGUUUCCAUUUUGUCUGGUCAUACAACGAAUGCUCUCUUUUUUUUUUUUAAAACAAAAAAAAGGGAAGAAAAGAAAACAUGUCAAAGAAUCCAGUUUAGCAAAUAACAUCUCAUACAUUCCCUCAAAAAACUAACAGUCGUUUUUCACUGAAAUUAUAAUUUGUUAAAUAUGGUAACCUACGAUAUCAGAUAAAACAGCGGUAAUUAAUAUGCACUGGACGAUUGAAUUAUUUCUGUUGAUAAAAUGUUCAUUUACAUCGCACCUUCUAUCUUUCUUUUGGUUUCCUUUUGAAUUCUCUAUCAAUGAAAUAUCCCAGUCUGCCUUAGGAAAAAAUAAAUAAAUAAAGACAAGUGCUCAAGCUAUUACCGUAACGUUACAUGGCAUCAAGUCAUGUGACAUAGUCUGAUAUCAUAUGAUGUCAAAUUCAUAAGUUGGACACUUUGUGAUUCCGGGAUUCUCUAUAUUCUUUUCUCUCUGUCCUCAAGCUAGCUAGACAGGUAAUGGUGAGAUUCAUUUCUAGAGUUAUUUUUCAUGUACUUUCCUUGCUAAUUAAGUACUUACUACAUAGUCUGUGAAGAAUCUCGCAUUAUUAUUAAGGCGCUUAUAACUGGCUAAUGCGUCAUCGAGUGCGGGUUAGACGUGGAAGUCCAAAAUUGACGCAACCAACAAAUAGAUUAACAUUAAGCAGUCAAAUGUUGUCGGGCUACGAAUUCAGUGCCUUCUUGCGUUAACGGAGUGUUUGUGUAGUAGUGCAUGAUGCUUUCAUAAUUCCGAUGGAUAUACCAAUACAGAAAUUGCAGCUGGCGGAGGCGGUUCAGUUCUUCUAGUCAUCUGUUUAUUUUGGCGCCCCAGAACCUUGGGCCUCUUCUACGCCUAAAAAUGCGUUUGUUGUCGAUUAAGUAGCAGCUAAGAUCGAAAAAUGAAUCAAAUUAUUGGAUACUCGAAUUGUUUGUUUUAAUUUAAUUCACUAACUAAUCAAAUCAAACUCGAUAAAAAAAAAAAAAAAAAAGACCCAUUCAAACUCGAUUCAGUAGAUAAACAAACCAAACCUAAACUCUAAACUCGUUAAAAUAAUCAAAUUAGGAUAUUUGGAUUGAUUAAAUUCGUUUAAAACCCUAAUAGCAACUGAUCGAUGUACAACGUCUUUACCUGUUAGGUUUUCCUAACUCCAUGUGUGCUGUAACCCUACAAAUUUUUUAUUAUAUACGAGAAGACAUACAAAAUAAUUUACUGGCUAUAUCAAGUUUCACUAAUAUUAUUGACACAAUAAUAUGGUGAGCCAUUGAUGUUAUCAAGUUUUAUUAAUAUUAUUGCCACCAUAUGGUGAAACGUUGUUGUAAAAUGAAUUGCCACUCAUAACUAGUACAGCGUGCAUUGCAAUAUAUUUACUUCCAACUUUCUCCGGUGCCUUGCGGAUCCUCCAAUAUACAAGAAAGUUAAGGAGGUUUGCAUAAGAAUAUGUGAUGUCUACGUGCGCUUACCACCAACAACCAACCGUAAAUAAACGCGCACACGCACAUACUAUCUAAGGGAAACCCACGACCCAACUCAAAAGGCAUGCUGACUUUCAGGUCACACUGAGGACCUUAAGCAGUAAUAACUUUUGCCUUGAUCUAGGACGAACAACAAAAGAAAUAAAUUUUCUUACAUUAGCUACAUAUACACUAAUAGGUAUGAACGCAUGUCACUUGAUAUCAAUUUAAAUUUAAACAUGUGACAUACAUUUAAACCCGUUAAUAUAUAUAUAUAUAUAUAUAUAUAUAUAUAUAUAUAUAUAUAUAUAUAUAUUAUCGGGGUAAAAUUAUUAAUUCAACAUAAAUACACAAGAUUCACAACGAAAAAAAAUAAUAGUGAUUGUGUAAUGCACAGAAAGUAUACUAGUGAUUGUGUAAGAAUUUGUAGAAGAGUUUUGAAAUGCUUCCUUUCAUAACGAAAAAGAAAAGAGAAUCUUUAUCCGUCAAAAAUUCUUUUUCAUAAUUAUGUUUUACUUCAUAUCCAUUUCACAACAAAAUAUGCAUAGCCUGAAUUCAUAUUCCCAGACAGAACAAAAGGAAAAAAGAUGGCAGACUAGGGCAACUUUCGAACCGUUUCCUUUGCAGAAAACGUGUGCAAUUACCCAUUACCCUUUACUAUAUAUCGCCAUAGUCAUUUUUAUCCACAAGAUUGUUGUAUCAACUUUAAAACAAGUAAAUAUAUAGUACUAUUUAUAAUUUAGGUUGUUAAUCUGUUUUCAAAUAUUAAAGUAAAUGAGUUCAUAUUGCUGUAAAUUUUUUUCCCCCUAAUCCAACGAAACCGGAUAUAUAUACACACACACAUACACAUUUAUAUAUAUAUGGUAACUUAAAUUGAAGGCAUAACCAAUUAUGUAGGUCGGUGAUUUUCAUGUGCUUUGACAUCUUCUCUGCACACCAGGCUAGUCUCUCCACAGAAACAGGCGCAUUUAUGCAAACGGUUUAAUUCAUCCUCAAGCUGUCUAAAAUUGAAUAAAUAAAUGGUUUGAAUAAAUCAACGGAUUCCAGGCUUUAUGCAUUUGGCGUUUUUCCUUUUUUUUUCCCCUCCAUCUCUGCUUUAAUUGUUUUUCUUUUUCUUGUACUCUUUAUUUGUGCUUUUGCCAUCACUUUGGUGAAGCAAAGUUACAAGAGAACUGACUGUUCCUGUAUAAUUUUCAAAAGCAGAAAGUUACAUCGAGUGAUAUUUGUGAUAGAUCUGGUUUGCGUCUCUAAUUCAUUCUGCUAUAAAGAGGAAGCUUUAUUUUAGCUAAAGUUCUAGACUCUAAAGACAUCAACUUAUCUAGGUUUCCAAAAAAGUAUCCAAGUGAUGAUGCUCAAAGUGGUCCUUAGCAUCGAAAUGCAUGCACAAAUUCAGUUCUUGGAAGUAAAAUACUACAUGCAAUCAAGAUAAAGCAAGUUAAACCAAUGCCAACCAAAUUCCAAACCAGUUCUUUCGAAAAAGGGUUCAUAUGUAAUAUAUGGUUCAGAAUUUAUUGCUAAAAGGGAAAAAAUAGAGAAUCGAAAAGAAGAGGUUGCCAAGUUAUAGGUGCCGGCGGCAAAACAGUAAACUUCUACGGAUGGAAACAUAACUGGCUAGAAGAAAAUGAAGUCCAAAUCCGCGAAUUGGGAUAACGAUCGAUGCUGGGCAUAGAAUGGAAUAAGAGUAUGGCACAAUAAUUAUUCUCCAUAUAUCUGUGGCUGCUAUGGUGAUUUGAAGUCUUUAUUUGGAAGAAUCCUUGAGGGUACUAGGUUCGAGAUUAAGAAGAAUGUUUUUUGUAUGUGUUUAGAUUGUAAAUUAUUUGAGAAAUUUUACUGUAGCACUUUUUGUGAUGUGGUGAUGUAUGUGAGAUAAAAAGAUAAUUAUUGGGAAGAUAAAAUGAUAUAUUAAAAAUUGUAAUUGUGAUGUAAGCAAAUAUAUUUGACCAAAUAAUCUGCUGUCCAAACCCAGGGGAAUCUUGGUGGCUAUACUGGAAUAUUUCGUAUCAUUUUAGUAGUGGCCUUGCCUUUUUCCUUUUUUUCUUCUUUUUUUUUUAAUACUCUGAGCAACUAUUCAAGUGCAAACCCCUUUGAAAUUGCUCUUUUUGUUUUUUCUUCUUGACCACUAAAAAAUAAUAGGGGAAAGCUAGCUGGGUCUCGACUAAAGCAACACUUUUAUGUGUGCUUUGUAGUGGUGUUUCCACAACCGUCCACUCUUUUGCAAAGGAAAUGUGACGUUUAAGCAUUUUAGUUUCAUCGAACUAAGUUGUAGUUGCAGGUGACUUGCUUUGUUGACUUGUUUCAAUUGCCGAGACGGAUGCAUUCUUUUUUUGGAGUCGGAAUUAGACUCAUUGGGAGCAUGAGUUUUGGUUAUUGUCCUUUCUUGUUUGAUUUUUUGAGGGACAAGAUAUAACACUACUUUCAUUCCCAUCAAAUGAUUCCCAUAACAGCUUACCAAACAAUAGGUAUUCUUCUCAUUAAUUUUAAUAUCCAAUCAUGACCAACGUUAUCUUAUACUCCAUUUUUUGGAAGCUUAUUCCCCUCUGAAUCAAUACUAAACAAGUUAUAGAGUAUUUUUCUACACCACCACAUGUAUUUUGUCAUUUUUAUUGGUUUCCUAAGUCAAGAAAUCUUGGAAGCAAAGUCCUGUGAAGAGACAACUAAGCCGACUGGACGUCGGACGUCUAAUCCGACAGAAUUCUUCCAAGUGCAUCCUCUUGAAUGACAACAGAUACAAUGAAUCCAUACCCAAUACUAUUCACUGUUCUAAAAUUGUCCAAUAUCAAAUUAUUGUAGUGUUUGGGUCACAAUGCUUAUCACUGUAAAAAAGAAAAAAAAAAUCCAAUUCUCCAGAAACUACUUUGUUAAUGCUUUUAUUGCUGUCCGCUUGACUAUCAGGCAAAAGUACACGCCUCGUCCCUUUUGAUCGGAUACUAAGUGCUUAUAAAAGCUGAGGAUGAUGAUUUUACCUUCUUAAACUGUUAUCACGUCAAAAGAGGAAGAAACAAGAAGAGAGAGAGAGAGGCUAUGGGGGGUGGUUAAAGUGGUAUAGUAUUUUGAAGUUGUCGAUUCUUCACCCUUAAGUAGUUGGACAAUUUAUCAGAACUGGCAAUUUGUGUUGUUGAGAGUUUCAUGGUAUAAUUUGUAGUAUUUUGUAUCAUUCGUCAUUCGUAGAACUUCAUCAAGAAUUGAAGUAGAACCGAAAGUGGAAGGUGAAGCUUAGCGAUUGGUUCGUGCUGAUCAUCACUCUUUUAACCUGUCACACUAACUCGAAAUAGUGCCACGAUUUUGUCAUUUCCAAUCAUGAACUGUCAAAAAUUAUGUGGAUACUCGGCAAAUGUGAUUUACCUAAAACCAAACGUUAAAAGCAACCUUUUACCAAACUCUUGAUCACUCAGGCGGGUCCUAAUCGAUCGCUGCUUAGCACACAAAGCACCAACGCAUUUGCCAAUGGUUUCUGGUAAAUGUGGGAAAGAGAUUUGGGUGCCAGAUGUUAGCGGGAAGGGAUCACACCCUUACCAUGCAAUGACUUGUUAGCAAAAUUUCUGAUUGAUUAAUUUGUUUUAGAAUACCUGUCCGAUUUCUGGGUCCAGAAACAAAUGAACUGAUUCAUGUGUAUCUCCCAAUUCGAUUUCAACACGUGAACACAGUUAUUAACCUAUGAUCUUUUACGUCAGAGUUGGGUAAUGAAGGUCUUUCAAUGGAUUCUUGAUGGGCUUUGUGGAAUAUUUUACUUCAAAGAAAAAGAAAGGAGAGAUCCCGAUAACGCACCACCUAUAUGAAUAUAGGCAAUCAGGAUACACACAUAUACGUAUUUUUUUUUGGGGAACACAUAUAUAUAUAUAUAUAUAUAUAGGCAGGCCAUAGCUGAGGUUUGUUGACCCAGAAGUAUGGAAGAUAAACACUUCUUGUUAUUAUAUAGACUAAUAAUAUAAGCAUUGUUUAGAAAGUGGACUAAGAUUUUUAUUGGAUGCUUGUUAACGUCAAUAGCGCGGUUCAUAUCCAAGAAUCAAGACUUCAAUUCAAUGUUUUUUUUUUGUAUCACAAGAUUAGGUAGAAAUGAUCGACAAACUGCUACGUGGAGCUUCUAGCUUUACAACUUGUUGGAACACUAACCUUGUUUGGAUUGCUGUUUUUCGUCAAAAAAUUACAUCGUUUUCCGUGAUCACAUUUUCCUAUUAUCUUUUUCCCUGACAUACAUCAAAUCGCUACAAUAAUUUUUCCAUGAAAAAUACAAUCCAAACACAACAUAAAUUAUUAAUAAGAUUGAUUUUCAUGCGCUCGAACUACAGGAUUCACUAAAUUUAAAAGAAAUAAACUUCUUAAUUUUCAAUAAAAAAAAAAGUUUCAUUUUAGAGUCAGCUAUCCGACGAGCUAAAUUAGAAGUUUCAAUGCCGGAUACAAUAAGGCAGUGGGAGUUCAGAAUAAAGGUUCUAAUUAGUAAGGCAUUAUUAUCAUUAGGCUCUGGUCAAACCAAGAAGCCCCUUUUGACAUGUCACUUGAAAGCAAAAAAUGUCAAUGCAAGAGCGCACCCACGUAAACAGACUGAAUUUAUACCACUGUGUAGUAUUUGCUUUUUCCUUCCGGCAUAAUCCUCAAAUUCCUUUUCAAGUUGAUAUAACAAAUAUUUUCUCAAUUAUACCUAAGCUGUACAAGAUUUAAAUCUUGUGUCUAUAUCUUUAAAAAUAUAUAUAUAUAUACAUUAGAGGACCUAAUGCCAGCCUUGUAGAACGGACAGUUGACCAAGAAGUUGUGAUCCUAGUGAAGCAAAGUGGUAUUCAUUUAGGCAAAGCCCUUUGGGCUUUGGGUCACUGUCGUGUACGACUCCAACCCGUGAAACACAUGAUGAUCAUUGACAAUGAAAACAAUCCAUCCACUACAAUUAAUUAAGGAUUCCAAUAGCUUGGCCUGGAAGAGUUCAAAAUGUAUUCAACUUCGUAUUCACGUUCAUGCACUCAUCUUAAAAGAGGUCUAAUCCAGUACAAAAUGUGGCAGUAAUUGGACUGUGCGAAACGUGUUAAGUGCAAAAAUGUAUUUCGAUGUGACAAUAGUAUAGUAAUGUUGAUGUACUCAUCAAAAUGAGGCCGAACUGCUACUGAUCCCUGCCCAAGAAGAAAGGAAAAGGAGUGUUCCAAUCUUUUUUUCUUUCUUUAAACAAAAGUCUAAUCUCGACUUUGACAUUUACAUACAAAUAUCCAACCACAAAUUACUCUGACCUGUUGAAAUACAAAAAAAAAAAAAAAAAUCAUAAAUUCACAAUAAAAAUUGCAUUUGAGAUACGUGGAAAAUUUUAAUUUUUCACACCUAAAAUAUCUGGAAAAAAAUUGGGAAGAGGGUUGGAUUAAAUGAUAAGAUGGAAGAAAUUAUAACUAGGAGAUAUUCAAAGAAGCUCUCUUGGAAAGAGAAAAGUAAAACCUCACGAUUUUUUGUAUUGAUUAAAAACUGCCUAUGAAGGUCUCUUGCCUUGGCUAUAUAUAGCCAUACAUUUGACAACCUAAAGUGAAUUGGAUUUACUUAACUAGACCUAAAAUGGUUUGGAAAACCCUAACUUCGGCUAGGCUAGGCCUUUUGGGCCGAUUCUACUCAUCCAAUUACUAACUAAUGUUCGGCCAAGACAAAAGAAUCUUUCUCAAGUUAUUCAAGUGAACUUAUCAAUCAAGUAAUUCCUUGGUUGUGCCUAUAGUUCGGUUCGCUAAUUCGUUAAGUAGCGGGUUGAGAUAGUAUCAAUAUUGUUCGCUACUUCGAGGAUUAGAUUGGGUCAAAUUUCCGCUGCCAAAAGUUUCAAGUUGAUCCGAUCACAAGAGCUCGUGCCAAGAAAAUGCGCGAAUCCCUUUAAGCUCUUGUAUGCACUAUCCAAGAGAGAGUUGGAAAUGAUUUGAAGAUUAUUGAAAGCUUGGAAAAUGAAGAUUCAACAAUAUAUACACUUUACUCCAAGUUGAAGAGUCAAGAGAAGACUAGUUGUUUAGAAGAUCGAGGGCAAUUUAGUCAUUUAGCCACUAUAUUCGUUAUUUAAUUUUGUUAAUAAAGUCUGCCAACAAAUCAUUUUUUCUUGGCCGAACAUUACAUGCUCACAGCCAAUCACCGACACCCAAUUUUGGAGCAUGAAAAAUCUUCAUGGACUGAUGUGAUCUACAAUUAGACACGAUCUAGACGCCAUUUACUAAAAUAGAUAUAUUUACAUGAAACAAAUCAAUGCGUCGCACCUAAGUCUAGGGCUUUUAGGGCCACGCUUGAUGAGGCCCGUUAUUUUGUAAUCCGCUGACCACUUGGUACUGGUAAUUUUGUAUAGAGGGCGACAGUUCCACUUGGUACUGGUAAUUUUUUUUUCAAAAAAAAAAAAAAAUUGGAUGGAGAUUUAUGCGGAUACGUUAAUUAGUGAACGUUCACAGCGUAGAACUUUUUCUCUCUCUUUUUCCAUUAGACUGUCAAAAGGGAUACGGAUAGGCGAAGUAAUUGUUCUUUCCGAAUUCAUGACACCGAUGGCAUCCAUUUUCGCCCCUAAUACCCUCGAUCUAUUUCAAAGGGCAUAAGGUCGGGUAAGUCACGUCACGUCCUGUCCUCUGAUUUGCACCGAGAAGCAUUUUGGAAGUGCAACUUCAGCAGCAUUAUGCUACUUAUGUCACAAGUACGACACAUCUCACAUUUUGAUAUCACAAGGCAAGAACAUUUUCUAAGAUUCAUAAUAAUAAAUUACUGCUCAAAUUCAAUCGUUCAAUCAAUUACUACUACAAUUGUCUGUAGACAAAAAUAAAUAAAUGUCUGCACAGUCCCAGCAGGUACCAAAUUCAAUUACCAAUGUAGAAGAAUCAGACUGAGAUCCUCCUAAAAGUUUGUGCCCCCGACAGAGGCCAGCGCAGGCUCAGGCUGCAUAUAAUAACAUUUGGAGGAGUUGAGGCUUUGGGCAUAGAAGCCAGACAGGAGCACGCGGGCUCGGCCGAGUUCAGCCUUUGAUCAAUUGGGUUCACUUUUCUCCAGGGCUGUCUAGCCAUAGCCCAGAACAAACGGGGAAGGGGAAUGGGAAUCCGAAUCCGAAUCCAAUCCCCCAAUGGGAUACAAAUACACAGCUGCAAGUUUUCAGAUCACAUGCACAUGCUAAUGGAAUAAUAUACUAGCAUGUUUCCCAUGCCUGGAGCCCCAUAAAUGGAAUAUACGGCUUUAAUGUUGUUGCCAUGGCCGUGGGCAGAAGAAACCCAGGUGGAUAUUGCUGUCUUUCCGGUUACCAGUUACCGCCCAAAAAAAUGAAGAAGAAGAAGAAGAAGAUGCCAAGGAAAUGAAGAAAAAUGUUGGUUGGUCCUUUAUUUUUGUUUUCCCACACAAUUGGAAAUUUACAUUAUUGAUGCAUUGUAGAGAAUUUUCUGAGGCAACCAUUUUUUACUGUCUAUGAAGUGAAAGAAACGAAAAUUAAUGAUGAGGCUGUGUUGAUAUAAUGGGAAAAUAUAUCUGCACGUUAAAGGAUGCCAAAAAUGUUGAAGACCACUAAAGAUAUGCGGCAUUUUUAGUUGUUUAAUAAAAAAGCUAGGUUCCCUUGGUAUUGGUCUUUAUUGAAACCCACCCCCCCCCCCCCCCCAAGCCCCAACAAAAAAAAAAAAAAAGAAAGAAAGAAUUUAAGGAAUAUCUUUCGACAGGAAGAUUUCAUCAAUCAAGCAUACAAUUUUUUUAUAAAAAAAAAAAAAAAAUUCAAGUCCAGCUCCAAAAAUUUGAUUUCUGCCUAUGGUUGUGCUAAAUUAGCAAUACAUACAAUUUACAAGGGCUCAUAUGCGAAUGAAAGAAAUGAAGUGGAGGAUCAUCUGAUUUGUCAGGAGAGGGGUGGUGGGGUACCCUACCGUGGAAAAUAAAAACAUAUGGACGCAGCAGAUUAGAUAAACGCAUUUUUGAUAUUGUUGAAAAGCGGGGGACCCUAUGUAUAAGAGGACAAAAUGGGCGCAGCGUACCAAAGCAAAGCAGAAAACUGAAAAAGAAGAAAGCGAAGGCAGAGAUGGGGUGGGGAGGUGGUGACUCAUCGAGCCUCCCUAAAGUCCUGAGCUCCCUAUUGAUUGCGACUGAUUGGACUUGUUGCUUUUGUUUUCUUUCUUCUUUCUCUUUCCUUUCCUCCGCCCCCUUGUUAUGUUAUGUUAUAUGUCUAUGACAUUUCUCUUUCAAUCCCAUUUCCAAGUUACCUACCCAAACCCCAAAAAGGCAUCUGAUCCUCAUUUUCUCAUGUUUGUACUACAUGCCCCAUUUCCAAGUUACAUACUUAACCCAAACCCAAUAUGAAAUCUCUCGUUUUCUCGCACUUGUACUAUCGUACUACAUUUCAAAACAAUUGGCUUCACUUGGAUGGGAAAAUUAUUUGGAAAAAAUAUCACUAAGAACAAGUGCUUUUAUGAUUUAUAAUGUGACGUAAACGGGAUAAAAAUAUUACUAUAUUUAUAUUACAGGCAGUAUAGUAAAUCUUGAUAACCAAACAAACCCUUAAUUAUUUGGGAGAAAUUUUCUCUAUUAUAUGUGCGUAGAAGUGCUUGAAUAAAUAAGAAAGGUGGUGCAAAAAUGUGUUUAAAAAAAUUUAAAAAAAUGUAUUUAUGAUACAAAUAAAUGAGUUGAGUUUGUUCAAUUAAUGGAUAUUCAAACAAGCUCAUAAAUCUAUUCAUAUGUAGCGGGGUCUAAUAUAAGUUCAUGCCACUUUGAUUGCGCAGUUCAAAUUUUAGGAUUUUGUUUUGGUGUGUUAUUUUUAGUAUUUUUUUCCUAGGAGAUGAUAACAAGUGUAUAACUUAUUCUAUCAUAAACUAGAGGGGAGGGAGAGUCUAAAGAUAUUUGUGUUAAGAGCUAACAGAUACGCAGAACUUAUUAGAUCAAAUGGAUGCUUUGUUCGGGUUUAUUUGGACAGCUGAUUAUUUUCCCAAACAUAUUUGCUUACAUCAUCAUUACAAUUUCCAAUACACCUUUUUAUCUUUCCAAUUAUCUUUUUAUCUCACAUACAUCAUAUCACAAAAAGUAUUACAAUAAAAAAAUCUCAAAUAAUUUACAAUCCAAACAAAUAUAUAAUUCUUGAAUUUUUUUCGAUGCAGAUGAAAUUUGAACCCCCCACCUAACCUACAACACAAUGAGAGAUUUAUGACCCUCCUUGGUGGUCGUGAUUAAUGUUUAUUUUUAGUAAUCAAUAUAUAACAAUUAUGAAUGAUGAGCACACAUGUUUAGAGAGCGCUCUGAAAUUGGCUGAACCCCUCGUGGCCCUCGAUUGUUCUUUCUUUCAAUUGCACGCUCAAAAAGAUUUGUCUACCUGGGGCAAGGAGACUUUCAAUUUUCGCAAGGCUAUUCAUUCAUACUUCUAAAUUUCUAACACUUUUUUUGGUGCAUGGAUUUGAUUUACUCCAUACAGUUUCUUUUCUUCUUUUCCUUUUAUUUGGUGUUCAAUCAACGCACAGGAGUAAUGGCGAAAGAUACUACUACUUUGGUUUCUUUUGUUGAAAGCCGGUGGACUUUACAUCAAUCAACACUAACUUCCCUGCAGGGAUUGCACCCGCUUUCCUACCAUAAUCUGCGAAGCAGACCGACUACAUUCAGGCAAUGACUCCAAGAUUUUUAUCGCGUAGCCCAAAAUUUGCCGGCAAUGGACCAAUUUAUUUAUACCAACUUUUCGCCCAUCGUAAAGCAAGAGAAUGUUAUCAAAACUGAUCAGGGAAAAGCAGUGGGUUCAUUCACCACAAACAAAAAGCAAAAAGAAGAGGGAAAAAUCAAAAAAGGAGUUGGGGUUGGCAAAAAUAAAAGGGAUAAUUUCAUAAACCUCCUUUGAGAUUACUGAUAUUUUCACAUAGCUCCUCUCAGGUUUAGAAAAUUACACCAACCUCCCUUGAUGCAGUGAAAUGACAAGAAUGUCCUUCAUUAAAUAGAUAAUCUAUACUAUGGGCCUGUUUGGAAUCUGAGUUUUUUCGGAAUUUGUUUAAAACUUUACUGUAGUGUAUCGUAGAAGUUUUUGGAAAAAUUUUUUAAGAUGAAAAAAUUUUUUAAGUUUUUUUAAGAAGUUUUUUGGAAGUUUUUUUCCUUUUCUUUUUUUUUCUUUUCCUUUUUUUUCUUUUUCUUUUUCACUUUUUUUUUUCUUUUCUUUCCUCUCUUCUUCUUCUUCCUCUUCCUUCCCACUCCCCAUUCCCUCUCCCGUUACUUCUGCGUUGCUUUCCCAGCAGCAAUGGUCACCAUUUUUUGUCCUUUCUUUUUCUUUUUCUCUUUCUUUUUCUUUCUUUCUUUUUUCUUUUCCUUCCUCCCUUCCCCCUCCCCCUCAAAAACUCCUGUGCCCACAGCUUCUCCCGCCAGCCCUCAUGCAUCCCCGUUUCCUUCUCCAUCUCCAAAGAUUCCUCCAACAAUACCUGCGGCUUCUCCCUGGUGAAUGCUCCAGCAGUGUCACCGCCUGCAUCAUCUCUAACCGGAAGCCCGGCGAGUUCUCCAGUUCCAGCCACUGCAGAGGUUCCAUCCGCCGGUGCCAGUGUUCCUUCCACUUCUGCGACACCGGCAAAGUUGCCGGCGAUGUUCCCUUCUAGCAGAAACCUGCCAAGUUGCUCACCGGCUGGGACGAGUUUGGCAUCGGAAACUUCGCAAGGCCCAGUUGCUGAUGAAUCGAUGCUACCUCCAUUCAUGGAGGGCCUAAUUGUUCUUGCUGGGCACUGGAAGAGGUGAUGACAGAGGUGGUAGUGACGGAGGAAGAGGAAGAAAAAGGGGAGAUAGGGGAGGAGGUGGUGGUGGGUUGGAGUGGGUGACGGAGGUGGUGGUGGAGGUGGUGAUGGGUUGGAGUGGGUAACGGAGGUAGAAGAAAAAGGGGAGGGAAUUUUUUUUUGUGUGUUUUGGGUAUUUUAAAGUGUGUAGGUAAAAAACUUUGUGAAGUUUUUUGGGGUUCCUGUAGCAAAAAUUGUUAAAAAACUUGUAGGAAACAAAUUUGCUAAAAACUUGCACUUCCAAACAGGGCCCAUGUGAUUAAACAAAAUGGUGAAACGAACAAAAAAAAUUGUUACUACUACUAAAUUAUUUUUUUCCUUUUUUGUUUUCACAAUUUUAAUAGAAGGGUAGUUUAGGAUUAUUGGAAAAGAAUCUAGGUUAUUGGGCCUAAAUGGUAAAAGUAAUGACAGUAAGUGUAAUUUUGAAUACUUGAGGGGAGCUAUCUAUAAUUAAUAAAAACUUUGGGGGAGGUUUCUGGAAUUAUCCCAAAAAAAUUUAUAAACUUGAAUGAGGAUCUUUUCUUCCUGCAGUAUAUGAAUAUCCACCUCCACUUGAGGUCUUGAAGCCCUUCUUGUCAAAAGAAGGUCUUUGAAGCCUCUUAAGCACGGUACACGCACCUUCAGUUUACUUUGACCCACAACUACAAGUCUGGCAUCGUCCAAGUGUAAAACCAUCCCAAAUUUUGCCUAAAAUUGUAACCAUAAUAUUGGCGACCUCCAAUCCCCCUGCGCUUGGGAGCGGUGCCCGCUUCCAAGUGGUACAGCAUGCUCAUAAUUUAUGGUACUAUAAUAGUUCAGCUUGAAUUACGUUUCGUAGUAAUAUUUUGAAAUUUUAACAACGCAUUCUUCAUGCAAAGGGCUGCGGGUACGGUGGUGAAGAAGCGCAGAGCUUCCCCGAGGAGAGCUGACCUGAUCAGCUCGGGGUGUCGAUGGGAGGGCUGAUCCAAGACCUGCAAAACAGAGAGGAUGAGCCAAGAGAGGGGGCCCGAGGGUUGUCCCCGAGGGCGCUCCGACGGCCAAGUUAGUUUUCCGGUGAGUAAGGUUCACGGGAAGCAGCAACUGUCCAGAGUAAAUUGUCAAUAGUCAGCGUACCUUGUACAGUGGAUGUGUGUUACUAUUUGUACCUGCAAGGGAGUCCGACCCCCGCACGACGCGGGACUUGCCCAGUAUAGAUAGCAUCCCGCACUCAGGGGGAUUACUCCCGACCUCCUCGGGACGGACCCUCGCCUCCCCUGGGAGCCCUAGCCGGUGCAGCCCAGGGCUGCUGCCAGGAGUCUGGGGGCCAAGGCCCAGCUCGGUUCCUCCUGGGCUGCCGCGUGUCCGGGCCCAGAACGGGGCCUCUGCACUAGCCCCCUAGAUUAGGUAGGACUGUCAGGCAGACCUAAUCUAUCUCCGCCACGUGGGAGGCCAGAACCGCGCACUACCCUGCCGAGGUCACCUCUGGUACAGUGCUGUCAUAGGGACGCUGCUCCCACGUCCUUUCAGCUGUCCCGCCCCUUCGGUUUUCGCGCCCGCAUUAAGUGCGUCCACAUGGGGGUCGCUUCAAAUUCAUGCAACCGUUUUCCCUCCACUCUUCCCCCUAUAAAUAGGGGAUGCCAAAUACUCAUCUGUCCCAUUUGCCAUUUCCGCCCCUUCUUGUGCAUUUCAAGUUAUCACUCUCCUUGUGCACCCACAUUUCCAUUUUCCAGCAACCUCCGGCGUCCUGUGCCCAGAUUCCGACGAGCCUUCAGUCCUUCUUCUGCCGUCAUCAGUAAGUCCUUUUUGCGAUUCAUCUUCCCCCUUUGCGGUGUCUCUUUUGCCCUCUGCUACCUCCCACUUUUUAUGUCGGAGCAUUCCUCCUCCUCUGUUGCCGUAGUAUCAAUCCGCCGCCGAGCUCCCCGAAUCACCGUUCUUUCCUCGCCUUCACCCUCAUCUUCGUUACCAUCUUCUCCUCCUCCCCCUUCCCCUUCUUCUGCUUCUAGUCCCAGCUUCCACACCUCAGAUCUACUUGAGCCUACCGAUACCAUGAGUUCUCCGUCUGCCCACUCCCCUUCGGCGCAAGCCCUUGAGGAGGCAGCCGAGCUCGACGCGCUCAUCGCGCGGCAGGCUACCUCCACUCCCUCCCCCAAAUCCCCCCAUGAUUCCCCUGGCGGAGCCGAGGAGGGUGCCAGGGAGGAUAGGGACUCAUCGGGUGGGUCCCCUGCUCCCGAGCAGGGGAACGAUCCUGAAUUCUUCUAUGGCUAUCCCGAUCUGCAGGAGGCCACCCUCUCUCCCCAGGAUCUGGCCGAGCUGGCUAGGUCGUACUCCAUCCCUCCAGCCUACGAACCGAGGUUGGCCGGGCCCGACGACCGGGCCUGCCGGCCUCCCCCUGGCUUCGUAGCCAUCUAUAGGGAGCAGCUCAUCGCAGGGCUCCGUCUCCCCAUCCAUCCAGCUCUAACCGAGAUUCUGAACCACUGGGGGCUCAGAAUCACACAGCUCCAUCCCACCUCUAUCAGGAUCAUCACCGGAUUCCUGAUCUACUGCCUUCUCUGCGACAUCCCCUACUCUCUCUCCCUCUUCCGAGCUGCCUUCAUUCUUAAGGCCGCCCUCCCGGGGUGGUACUACUUCUCCCGCCGUGGCCCCCAGACCAAGGGGGGAAAAGGGGCCCAGGAGUUGUUCUACGGGCUCCCCUCGUCCGUGAAGGACUGGAAGGAGGACUUCUUCUUUGUCAGGUCCACACACUUUCCCCCCAAUGUGUGGAAGGUUGGGGGAGUCAAGGCCGACCCCUACCCGAAGGACCUGGACUACGAGACCCUCGGCCAGCUGUUAGGUUCCAAGGUGAAUCUCGAUGUCACUAAGAUCUCCACUGAGCAGAUCUCCGCAGCCGGGCUGAUGGGGACGGUGUCCGGAUCCUCGGGGGAGGUGGCUACCCCCCAGCCCAAACUCGACACCUGUAACGCCGGCCUUGCCCCUGUCGCAUUUGUAGUAUAGGAUUUUCCUUUUUUACCCUUAACUGUCUUGCGUUUGGCUGAUCUGGUGGUGUUUAUUGCAGUGAGAAAGCUCUCCCAACUGCUGGGCGCACCCCUCGAGGAGGUCACUCCCGACCCCCAGCCCGGAGCUGCUCGGGGGGACCCAGGUGAGGCUUCCACCCCGGGGGGCGGCUCAGCCCCCCAGAAGGAGACAUCACAACCAUCCCCCUCCAAGCAGGCCGCCAGCAAAAAGAAGGCGGCCGGAAAGAAGAGGGGCAGAGGGGACGAGCCCUCCCAGGCUGGGCAGAAGAGGCUCGCCCUGGUCUCUGCACAGCCUCCUCCUCUUGCGCGGGUCUCCGGGGGACCAGUCCACCUGGGCGUGGGCUCUGCCGAGAAGCAGGUCCAGGAAUCGACUCCCCCGAGCUUGUGGCACUUCCGCCACAUAGCUCCCCUGAAGCCAGGCCAAGCCCCCACGAUGCAUGACCCCCGCCACUUCUGUCCGUCCUGGAAACUCUCCAUCAACGACCGAGCCCAGUUCCCCGAGGUGGCUCGCGAGGUGAUGGUGGGCUCGGUCCUUCCUAGGGACAGGAAGUGGAUGGAGCUGGCCAGCCCCUCCGAGCUCUUGGACGCGUACUACACCGCCCAGACCCAAGUAAGUAUCACCAAUUGGUUAAUUUCACCCCCGUGUCCGGGUUGAGUGAUGUGGCAUGCUGAUCUGCUUUCUCUCUUUUCCAGUCCAACGCUGCUGGUGCCGCCCUGGCUACCCGCUUCUCCGAGCUGUCCCCCGACCUGGAGAAGUUGCGGAAGAAGAACCUGGAGGCGGAGAGGAAGCUUUCCCAGGCCCUCCAGGAGGCCAACUCCCUUAAGGCCAAAUUAGACAGGGCCGAGAAGGAGAUGGACGCCGCCCAGGUCCAGCUCGCCUCCACCAGGUCGGAGCUCGACCAGGAGAGGGCAGGUGUGGCCAGGCUGAAGGAGGAGCAUGCCAUAGAGCUCUCCGGCACCGUCAGCCGAGAGCGGAAGAAGGCUGUUCGGGAGUUCAUCUCCUCCGAUCAGUUCGAGGUGGACAUCGCCCUCCUCAACCAGCCCAUCCUCCAGGUUGGCUCUACGCGGGCCCUGACCCAAGUGCAGGGCCUCAACCUACCCGGCUUCAACGUGGCGGACUUCAAGAACUACGACCCCGCGGCCGAGGAUAGGCUGGACUGGCUCUUUGAUGGGUACCGGAAGGGGCACGCUCUGAAGAGCCUGAUCCGCCGAACCGACGUAGGAGCGGAUCUAGAGGAGGUUCCCCUGGAGGAGGACGGGUCUCCGGGCAGAGCUGCCGGGAAAGAGCCGGUGGCCUAGGGCGGUAGCCACUCCAGAAACCCUUUCUGUCUUUUUGUAAGGAUGUGACCAUGCUCCAGUUAAAAAUGCUCUUGGAGGUCCAUCCAGAACGGAAGGGGUUUCCUGCUUCCGGGCUCCUGAAUAGCCUUCACCAUACGCCUCUCAACAUGCUUAAGAUGUACUUUCAGCUUCCACCCCGGUCAGGCCGCCAGCAGGUAGAACAGACAUCGAAGGAGAUUACCAGCUCGGAAAUUUUAUGGUAGAUAGGCAGGGCGCUUUGUAAUAGAUAAGCAGCUCGGAAGCUUUGUAAUAUAUAGGCUUGCAAUGUAUACACAAGAUUUCGAAGAGUUAUUUUCUUCUUUCCUUGCCCACCCGCAAUGCUAUGUGCCGACCUCCGGGGUUGAACACCUCACACCUCACCCCUUGGGGCUAAGUGCUUUAAAUAUUAAGCGCGUCCUUGCCGACCUCCUAGGUCGAACAAUUCACCCUUCAUUAAGCGCGUUCGUGCCGACCUCUUGGGUCGAACACUUCACACUCCAGAAUAUCUUAAGCAUUAAGUGCGUUCGUGCCGACCUCUUGGGUCAAACACUUCACACUUCAUUAUAUUUUAAGCAUUAAGUGCGUUCGUGCCGACCUCCUGGGUCAAACACUUCACACUUCACUAAGCGCGUUCGUGCCGACCUCCUGGGUCGAACACUUCACACUUCACCCUACCCCUAGCCCCCCACUAGGACGUUGAGCGAGGGAAUGCUGAAUGUGCUAGUGUAAAGUGCAGGUUUGAAAAUUGUAAAAUGAAACAAGGACAAGUGAAAAUUAAAAUGAGCUGUGAUUGAAUGGGAAAACAAAAACUCGGAUUCCUGAGAACAGGCCACUGAUCACCCUGGUUUAACCUACGCUACAAACAACCGCAAAUUGGAGAAGUGCCAAGUCCGAGGUACUUCAGAUCCAUCCAUCUUAGCUAGCUUGCAAUAGCCAGCGCGGCUCGCCUCAAGGACCUUGUAGGGGCCCUCCCAAUUUGGGUCGAGCUUGUUGGAGCCGUGCACUCGGCUUAUCGAGUUCUUCCUGAGGACGAGGUCUCCCGGAUGGUACUGUAUAGUCUUUACUUUGGCGUUGUGAUAGCGAGCGAGCUGGCUUUUAUACUUAGCCAUUCGAAUAGCCGCUUCCUCCCGCCUGACUUCGAGCAUGUCCAAGUUGCACCUAAGCUCUUCCUCGUUGGACGUUGCCACGAAGUUCUGUAUUCUGGGUGAGAGAAGACCAACCUCCACGGGCACCACCGCCUCUACUCCAUACGUUAGGGAGAACGGGGUCUCGUGAGUAGCCGUCCUGGGCGUAGUGCGGUAAGCCCAGAGGACACUGGGGAGCUCAUCCAGCCAGCUUGAUUGGGCGGACUCCAGUCUAGUCUUCAACCCUUGCAGGACAGUUCGGUUGGCGUUCUCCACCUGACCAUUGGCCUGGGGGUGACCAACCGACGUGAAGUGCUGGUUGAUUCCGAGCUCGGCGCACCAGCUCCGGAAAGGGUUCUCGGCAAACUGGCGGCCGUUGUCAGAUAUCAGGUCAUGCGGAAUCCCAAACCGGCAAACUAUGCUCUUCCAAAAGAAUUUCUGGAUCGCCUUCCCCGAGAUAGAAACCAGGGGCUCCGCUUCCACCCACUUUGUGAAGUAGUCUAUGGCUACCACGAGGUGCUCAUAUCUUCCCGGGGCUCGUGGAAAGGGACCCAGGAGGUCUAUCCCCCAUUGAGCGAAGGGCCAAGGACUGUGAAUGGGGACCAUCUCCCGAGCUGGCUGAUGGCGCAGCGAAGCGUGCACUUGGCAGGCUCGACAUUUUUGGACCAGAUCCGCUGCGUCUCGGAAGACGGAGGGCCAAUAGUAGCCCAAAAGGAGGCACUUCUUAGCCAGCACUCGGGACCCCACAUGGGCCGCACAUAUUCCUUCAUGGACUUCGCGCAGGACAUAAUCACUUUCCUCGGGCGUUACGCACUUUAACCAGGGGGACAGGCACGACCUCCUGUAGAGGGUUCCCCCGGCGUAGGCGUACUUGGCAGCUCGGAGCUGGAUGCGUCGGGCCUCGGCUUUGUUUUCAGGGAGGUCACCCGAGCUGAGGAAGUCAACGAGGGGCGUCAUCCAGGUGGCCGAGCUGUCUAUAGCCAGGACCCGGACCUGAUCGAUACUCUUCUGCUUGAGCACUUCCACCAAUACCUCUUUGCUCAGGUGGGCAAAUGAGGAGGAUGCCAACUUCGAGAGGGCGUCUGCUCGCUUGUUUUGGGACCUUGGCACCCGCUCGAUUUCGAACGUUUCGAACAAGGCCACGGCCUCUCGUACUUUGGCCAGGUACCUUUUCAUAACCUCGUCCUUGGCUUCGUACUCCCCAAGGACUUGAAGGACGACGAGCUGUGAGUCGCUCCUGACCUGGAUCGCGGUUAUUCCCAUCUGGUGGGCUAUCCGCAGUCCUGUGAGCAGGGCCUCGUACUC